UUUGGUUGAAAACAUGGUGCAAUGGGAUGUUGUAUCUAUUACGCAAAUUGGUUGUACCAAAAAUUAUUGUGAGUACUCAGAUUUUGUCAUAAGUAAUCAGAUCAAGGUUUUUGAUAUGGUUGAAUCAUGUAGGUGGCAAGUUGCUUGUUUUGAGCUUCCAAUGGUGAUGGUGGCUGGCGUUGGUAAGCUGGCCAGAGACUUCUUUCAAGUUAGUUCAUCCAUGAAUUGACAUUGUAUCCAUUGAUUUAAUUCAUGAUUGUUUGUAAGAAAAAUUUUCAUGUUCGAUGUGUUGGUAAUUAUACUUCUACUGAGAAGUUUAUAUAAUAUUAUUUGGUAGCUUACAAGUUUUGUUUUUUGUCUGAUUCUGGUAGUGUUUUGUCAGUUAUUGGGUAGCAUGAUGUUGGUUGGGGGUGACUAUUUGUGUCUCGGAUUUGUAUGUCUUAGGUUUUUCUCUUGAACAGGAGUCUUUGACUAGGCAUAUCUUUGAUGAGGCAUAUCUGCCAUGUUCAUGUAGUUUUGUUUGCUCAAAACUUGCUUUUUUGUGACUUGCAAUUGUAUGACCCUUUUUUUGAUAUUGUUAUGCUUCCAUGCUUUACAUUAUGUUUUUUAGUUGGCAUCUGUGUGUAUUCUUGGAUUUUUCAAUGACUAAAUGACUGUUCAUCACCAAAUUUUGAGUGUUCGUCAUGAGGGGAAUUGGUCCUCAGUUUUCUUCGUUGGUGAGGUGUUUAUGAAUCUUAAUUUUGUUUAUUAGGAAUUUCGGAGCAUCUAAUUUUGGUUGUGUUUAUUUAUUCAAUUGUGAAUUUUUGUAUUACAUUAUUGUUUCAUGAUUAUCUUCUAUAUUGUUUGUUGAUAUUUCAAAACUAUUCCAGUAGUCUAGUUUUUUUAGUAAUUUGCUAGGUUUAGAUAGUAAGCUGAGUUGGAAAAUGAUAAGUGGAAGGUGUUCAUAAUUGUCUUCAGGUAACAAUAAAAUAUUAUUUUGUAAAAAAUAUAACUAUUGGGAAAUAAGCAUAUGAUUGUUUGCAAGCAUGUUUGGAAACAUGUGAAGACAAAAUUUGAAGCUUGAAGAAUAUGAGAAAAGGGUUAUAUAGCUAUCUUGAAAUUAAAGAGCAUGUGUUUAUCAUUUUUGAUGUCUACACAUAAAUCAAAGUUGCUUAAUGGUUCUUGGGUGGACGGGUACUUAUCCCUUGUGAAUUUGCUUGGACUGUUUAUGAGGAUGUUAUGAUACUUGUGAGACUUUUUACUUGGUGUGGCAUCUUUGAGUUAUUUUGGAGCUUAUUCAGUAUGGUGCCAAUUCCUGUUCAAUUAUGUUUGUUUUUUUUAAUUAUUACAUUUUCCAUGCUUUUACGACUAAUUUACUGUGUUGAAUGUAUUUCCUGUUCAAUCAUGUUUGGUAUUUUCUUUGACUACAUUUUCCAAGUUACUAUGAUUAUUAGAUUACAUUUUCUUUGACUACAUUUUCUUUGUCGAUUAUGCAAUUUGAUUAUUAGAAAUUUGAUUUUGUUGUUCAUAUAGGUUGUAGCAUAUUUUGCAAUUAGUAUGAGAUUUGCAUUGAUUAUGAAUGUCAUCGUUUAUCAAACAGAUGGGUUUGCUGUUUAGAAUUUAAAAUUAAAUACAAAAACAAACAAUAAUAGAAAUAAGACUGGUAAAUUGGACAUUGCAAUAACCACUUUACUAUCAUUGUUGUUUUCCAAGCUUAGCUAAGAAGACUAUAAAGUUGGAUAUUAUGUGAUGUUCAUUGCUGGAUAGGUAUUCUCCAGGGAGGUUGAUCAACUUCUCCUUUUGUCAACAUUUGGUGAUUGCAUUGGACUUCUACUUUACUGCUUGAUUGUUUUAUCUAAUUCUAUUUAUGUAUUCACAUUUUUCUUCUCCUUUUUCCCUAGUUGUCUUUAUUUUUUCUGGUGGUUGGUAAAUUUUCUAUUGUUAAUCUUAACAUCUAUAAUGGUAUUCAAUUGGAAAAUAUGUUGGGCAUAUGAUAGCUGUUGGCUUGAGAAUUAUGGGCAUUAUCUUUUUCCAUGUGAUAGCUGUUGGCUUUGUAGUUAUCUAUUGGUUCAUGUUGUGAGAAGUCUGCUUCUUGUUUUGCUGUUCUGUUGUGACAUUGUAGUUCCAUAAGCAUUGUUCCAUCACCAGGUGCAGUCUGGUUUUGCAUAUAUAAGAGAGAUGAUUACAUCUAUCUUGACUCUCUCCAGAUAGAUUAUAUAAAGCCUGGUGACUGAUACAUCUGCUGUGUUAUUCUCUACAUAAUACGCCUGGUCUCUUUAUGUAUUCAUUUGUUGUCUUUCAGAUCUUCUGAACAUUGAUCUCCUCCUUGAUUUUUUGUUGUGUGGCAUCCAAUAGAUUUUUUAUUUCUGAAAUUUUGGGGUGUCUUAGCUUCUGAACCUUAAUUUUGUGUUUUUAAUGUGAUCUAUCAUGAUCAUGGGGUCAUCAAAAUGUCUGUUUUUGUUGGAACUUUCUGUGAUAUACUGAUAAUGAAAAUGGUACAUUCUCUGUUCUAAUGAGUUCAUUACAUCCAUUGUUAUUUUUCACUUGGCUAUUGAAGAGCCUAUAGUUUUUAUGUCCUGGUUUUGGUGUUUUGGUUUUGGUUAAUUUUUCAGAAUUUCAUUUUUUUUUCCCUCUUGACAUUGCAUUGGGUGGUACAAAUUAUUUUGUGCUUCAUCUUUGUGAACCAUUGGUAUCAGAAUUUCUCUGUGGUCUCUUUCCCUUUAUUCAGGUUUUGCUUUUCUUUUCUUUGAGAUGCAUCCCUGUUUCUCUUAUUCUAUGCUUCAUUUAUUGUUCAAGAAGCUAGGAUGGGGCUAACAGUGAAUGCAGUAAACCAUGGUUGGUUAUCUCGAGCAAUAAUGGUAUGUAAUUUUGACAGUCUGUUAAAUAUUCAUCAGUAGGGUCACUCGGCGAACUGGGUUUUCAUUUUUAUUAUAUUUUGUAGUUGCAGCAAUCUGUAAGUCAUUAUAUUUUGGUUUCUGAAAGUUUGGGAUGUCUUAGUUUCUGAACCUUGAUUAUGGGGUUUUAAUGCCAUCCAUCAUGACGAGCAUGGGCAUUUUUAUAUACUAAGUAGGUCAUCAAAAUGUCUGAUUGUAGGAAUAGAUCAUAAAAGUGUCUGUGUUUGUAGGAAUUCUGUGAUGUAAUGAUAAUGUAAGCGGUAUGUUCUCUGUUCUGGUGAGUUCAUUUACAUCCAUUCUUCUUCACUCGACUGUCAAAGAACCUAUAGAUUAAUUUUCACAAUAUCCUUUUUUUUUCUUUGAAAUAGAUUUUAGUUGUACAUUGCCUUCAAUUCUAUAUCACAAUUUUUGUUGUUACUUUAUGGACAUUGUAUUAGGUGGUACAAAUUAUGUUGCACUUCAUCAUUGUGAACCAUUGGUACUAAAUCUCUCUGUUGCUCUCUUUCCACUUAUUCAGCUUUUGCUCGUCUCUUUUUCUAAACAUGUGCUUGAUUCUCUUCUAUGCUUUAUCUAUUGUUCAGAAGUUAGGACAAGGCUAACAGUGAAUGUGGUAUGCAAUUUUCACUUGUUUGGAUGGUCUGUUAAAUAUUCAUUAAUUGGGUCAUUUGGCAAACAGGUUUUUGAUUUCUGUAAUAUUUUGAAGCGGCAUAAUGUUAGUCAUGUUCGAGUCUAAGGAUGUUUAGAUGUACUCUAUAUAUGAAGUUUUUUCUUUUGCAUUAUUUCUGAAUUUUUUUUUCUUAUUCCUAUAUGCAUCUAUCUCAUGUUAGUUCGUUUGGUUUUGUAUCUUGAUUAUGUUAUGAACUAUUUCAAUAUGGUUAAAGAGAUCGUACCGGUCCGUAUCGGUAUACUAACUAGUUGUUGGUAUGGUACGUAUCGAGUUGUACCAAAUGUACCGAUACAUGGUAUAUUGAUAUUGAUAUACUACCCAUACUGGUCCCUUGUUGGACUGGUACGUACCACUCAUACCGGUACUCUGUGGUACAACGAACCUUGAGUGUAAGAGUUGUAAAUGAGUUCAAUAUCUCCUACUGACAUCCACACAGUUAUAGUUGCCUUAUUUUUGCUUUGUGUUUUUUGUAUGUUCGGUAAAUUAAUAAUUUGUUUGUUUAAUGUUUUCUGUUUGGCAUUUGUAUUGUCACAAAAGCUGCUUCCUCUCGAGUAUUUUCAAGAAAAAAGAAACCAUGCCCAUUGGUGAACAUUUUGUAGGCAGCAUUCUAGUGCAUGUUAAGGAACAUCAUCAUGUUAAUUAUAAGCUUCUCUGAGAGCAGCUGUAGGAAAAACUUGGAUUUUGUUCUUUACUGGCAGGGCUUAUGAAUGAUACUGGUGUUUUGAGUUUGAGACUUAAAUAAGCCCUACUUGUAUUUAUUGUUGCUGUAAUUAACUUACUCUAGGAGCUGUUCUGGUUAUGCAAGCCACACAUUAAUAUGAGCAAAUACAUCAGAAUUUCUAAAUUGGAUACUGGUGAACCUACAUGGUACAUGGAUAUAGACUCGGGUAUUCAUGUUAUUGUCUAUCUUAUAGCUUGAGCUAAUCAGCUGUAAGUGUUCAUUUUUCAGUAAUGUGGAAAAGAAGUUUCAGGAGUCCCCACAAAAUUAAAUGUUUCAGUGGCAUCAAUGUUAUACAAACUCCCUAUACAAAAUUCUUGUAAAAACUUCAGUGGUGAAGAACCUCAUCGGUUGUUUACCCUGAUUUAUUCAAGGUUGUGGAAGGCAUUAACAAUCUUUUUGUAGUUGAAAGCUUUUUUUUGGUUCAUCAAUAUGUUGGGAUUUGUUUAUUGUCUUCUUAGAACUCUGACGUGUAUAUUCCUUUUAUAUUAGACAUCAAAGAAAUUUUUAUUUUUUAUCUGUUGUUAGUUGUAAUUUUUACUAGGAUGUUUUUUGAUUGUGAUGUCAAAUGAGUGCUUUUAAGUGAUUUAAAGGUAGCACAGUUGUGGUGUUAGAACACUGUUUUAGUGAUCAUUCAAGUAUUUAGACGUUAUUUUAAGCACUAUGUAGCCUUGUUUGGGUAACUACCUUUUUAUGUAGUGUAUUGUGUGUAUGCCAUAUACUGUGUAUAUGUAUGUGUAUUUGUUGUGAGUAUCAAAACAACGGGCGUUACACAUUACAAGUCCUCUUCCCUUUCCUUUUAUUUGCAUCAGACUUUAGAUGUUUAGUUGUUUUGUGAUUAUAUGUGAAUUUUUUGCAUGUCUUGCGCAACUGAUGUGUGUUCUGUGUCUUGCAAUGUCUAUAAUUCCUUGUACAAGACCAUACUGGAAAGACAUGAGAAUGUCUUGGUCGUUGCAUUUGGUAAUGUGUAUUUAUGCUAGAUUUAUUUUUGACUACAUAGAUUAGCAAUAAAUUUAUAUGUUAUAUUUAUAUGUCCUUGUUCAUGCCUAGUGAAUUCAUCAUGGAAAUUUAUUAUUGCUUAGAAAUUGUGAUUGUUCUGUUUUCUGAAUAUUUAUCAUGUACUUUAUAUGUAUGUUAUAUUUAUGCAGCUUUUGAUCCGUUUUCAUCCCUUCUUUCUGACUUUUUAUCCAUUCCAUGCUAAACUGACAGAAACUGUCACAAUGUUGCAUAAUGAUGUCAUUUUAUUCCCCUUCAAUAGUAUUUGAAUUGCCUUGCUGUCCAUUCCAACCAAAGAAUUGUAUCUCAACUAUCAGACGUAUACUAGUUUAGGUCUAAGAAUAAUAUUAAGUAUUAGACCUAUAUCUGUUUAGUCCCACAUUGGUAUGGGUCUAAACCAUAUUGGCGGGGAAGGGUGUGGGCGAGGCAUCACACAGAGCCACGAGGCCUUGCAGUGGGAGCAUACGGCGAAGGCGACGGACGGGCGAAGAGUAGAAUUACAACAAUUUAGGGGUACUAUUUGGGUAAAAAGAAGAAGGCAUCAACAAUAUGUUUAUGAGCUCUUAUGCAAGAGCCAUGGGAUAAAAGCACCACCUUGUUGUUCCAGCCGUUUUGUGUUUCCUGAUAUUACUAAACUACUUAGUUGAUUUUUCUUCUUUCAUGUUGUUAGGGUUCUCUGGUAUCAUCGAUUGAGAUGUGGUCUAAGCAUCCUUUAGUAGUUUUAUUAUUGUUAUAAAAUUCUAUUUUUUUAUGAACCUAGAAGGUCAGGCAGAGAACUAUGUCAAUAAUGAUAGCUGCAAGAAAGGGUUGGUGUUUGCUAAUAUUUAGAUCUGGGCUGUUGGUUGUCAUUGUGUUUGAAACAUUAAUUAUAGAAGGAAAGCGGAAUUUGGGUUUCUUAGUUUCUUUAGUUGAUUCUUGGUCUGCUCAGGAUGAGUUCUAGUUUCUUCAGUUGAUUCUUAGUCUGCUCAGGAUGAGUUCUAGUUUCUUUUAUCGAUUCUGCACCAGAGUAGUAUAUGAUGUAUUAUUGGGAGUCCUGACAUGAUAGUCAGUUUCAAUGAGUUCAGCUUGUUGGUUCAUCAAUUUCAUACAUGAAAUGGUUCUGGAUUUUGGAUCCGCAUUUUGUGUGUCAUGAGCAAGCUCUGGUUAUUCUAAUUGAUUAGGUUUUUAAUGUGCUGAUACUCUUCUCCAAGGGAACCAUACUCUUAUCAUUCUUUUUGUGUUUAGGAGGAAAGCCAAUUAUCAUUUUUUUUGCACCCUCAAAAAAGUUUUUCAUGUUUGGGCUUUUGAAGUUGAUCUUGUGAUUGCUUGACAACCAUCAGUAUCUUGCAGUAUGGAUUAGCUUAUGUGUAAGGUUCAGAUAGAUGGUGCAGGUUUUAUUAUGUAAAGAAAUAGAACACUUCGUCUACAAGCCUUGGUUUCAUUAUUAUUAUUCUAUUUCCAUUUCCUUGCUUGGUUGGCAACAUGAGCAUUGAUAUUUGUAGUGGAUCAUGUAAAUGUGAAGCUUGUUAUAUUGGGUUGAAGCUGCUAAUAACUGGAUUGAUGGUUCUUUGUUUGGUUGAUUGGCUGACUGAUCAUCCCAAUGGCACUGGAAUUGUUGAUUCAAUUUGUUGGGACUGACUGAUGGUUGUCAUCGAGUUAUUAGUUGGGACUGACCUUUGAAUAAUGCUGCAGCAUGAGGUCGAUUAUAGUUUAUAGUUUUGACUGGCCAUCAGAUAAUGGCACUGGAACAGUUCGUUGGAUAUGGAAUAGUGGUGCAGGUUUUAGGUUGUUGUAGGGUUCAGUUUGACAGGGUUUUGCUAAUCAUGUGUGUUUGUUCUUAUUUCAAUGUUUUUUAUAGUUUGUCUCAGGUAUGUUUCAGCGGUGUUGGAUGGUUUUGUCUAGUUUGUUUGUUGCGUAAUAAUGUGUGAUCAUAGUUUUUUUUCAUAUAAAUAUAAAUUUAGUGGAAUUUACUAGUUUCUUUCUUUUUGUCGAACAUUAGUCCUUGAAUUUUUUUUGUCGUUUUGUUGAUUUUGUUGUAUUAGGUGUAUUUUAAUAUAUUAUUUUUGUCUGGUUUCUGUAUGCUUUUGUUGUAGAUGCGGGAUGACCCAAACUACAUCUUUUCCAAUGUGUCUUCUAGGAUAGUUAUGAUAGUAUAACGUUGGUUGGUUGUUGGUUGCUGGUUGCUUAACGCUGAUUGUUUGUAAGUUCUUUUGUAGCUUCACACUUCCAUCACUGGACAUUAAUGUUACGUUUAGCAUUGUUACAAAUGCUUCAAUUUGGAGUGGAUACUUUUGUUUAGUCGUGUAAUAAUUUGAAAACUUGUGUCUUCACAUUGCUCGUCUAAAUGGAUGAGAGGGGGGUCGUGGGCAUUGCUGCAAAUAAUGCAUGCGAGUGGACGAUGGUAAUGUGCUGCUUGUGAACGUGGAUGCUUGUCCGUGGGUUUCUGUUUUAUUAUAAUUCGAGAUUAUCAUUGGUUGCCUUUGUGUUUGUUUUGACAUAAUUUUUAGGUUUGUUGCUUAACACUGCCAUUGCCAGUCUCAAGCCCGGAUGAGAAAACGUGGAGGGGGCAAUAGUUGAUCGGUACCUCUGUCUGUUGUAAAUAAUCCAAAUGAUCUGCGAGUAUCACAACAUGAGUGCAUUGCUUGCCCAUAGGAGCAACUUGUAUGACUUUUGUGUUUGAUUUUCGAGAACUCGAGGGAUAAUAUAUCUAUAUGAGGUUUCUAUUUAGAGUACAUUGUAUUUUUUUCAAAAUUGAAUGUUUUAUCAAAUUAGGAUUUUUUCUAGGGUAAUAUUUCUAUAGAUUUGUUAGAACUUCUAUAUUUAGAGUAGCAAGUCUUAGAUCAUUCAAAAGAUAUUCUUAUUAUUCAAAACUUAUCCAAAAAAAAUAAUUUCAUUAGUGUAAAUGUAAGCACUUAAAAUAUGAUUCAUCAUGUCUAGUUUUUCAUUCAUCACCUUCACAUAUUCUUAUUAGAUGAUAUUUAGAUUUUAAAUUAAUUUUUAAAAAUAUAUAAGUAUCAUGUAAUUCAUCCAACAUGUUAUCUAGCUUAGGAAUAGGUUGUUUAUAUCAUGAUUUUGUUGGCUUAUUUGGUAUGCUUGCACUUAGAAUGAAAUCAAUUUGAUGCUCAAUUUGUUUAAUUGGUGGUAAAUCAUUAGGAACUUCUUGUACAUCAACAAUAACAUUAGUCAAAUUUUUAUUAUUUUUUUAACAGUAAUCAAAACCUCAUUGUAUAUAAGUAUAAAUAAGGGUUGCAUGCCUAAGGUUUUUACAUCAUUCAUUUUGGCAUAAACACUCUUUUUUCUUUCUCUUAAGCUUUCCUUGUUUUCUCUCCUUGUUUCUCAAUAUUCUCAUUUUUACCACUCAAUUUAUUUAUUUAUUUAUUUUUCUCUUUCUUACUCCCUCUCCAAAGUUUUGAUUAAUGAAGACUUAAGCUUCUCAAAUUAUUGUUUUAUAUGCAUUUGGUCUUAAAAAAUUGUCAUUGGAGGUAAUGGUCGAAGCUGAUAUUUCUACCUAUCCAUGAUCAAAGAAUAAUGGUUUUUGAACCAAUCGUGUAUGUUACUUUGAUCAUAUUGCCAAGGUCUCCCUAACAACAUAUGACCAGCAUACAUAGGUACUAUAUUACACCAAACUUGAUCCUUAUAUCUAUCAAUUGAAAAAUAAAUUAACACUUGCUGAUUUAUCUUUACUAAACUAUCAUUCAACCAUUGUAUCUUGUAAGGUUUUAGAUGUUUGAUAUUAGAUAAUUUUAGCUUCUCCACGAGCAAGGUGCUUACCACUUUUGUUCAACUUCCAUUAUCAACAAUCACAUUGCACAACUUGUUAGCAAUCAAAUAAUAAGUAUAAAAAAGAUUUUCACGUUCAUCUUGUUUAUCAUUUUUAUUGUGCAAACUAAGUGUGCAUUGAACAAUUAGAUUUUUACUUUUAAUAUACUCUACAUCACUAACAUCCUUUGGAAUGUCAUCAUCAACCUAUCUCUCACUUUUAGAUUAUGCAAUCCUAUCUCUCAUAAUCAUCACAAUCCUACCCCUCAUAAUCAUAACUCUCUUAUUAGGACAUUCACGUGUCAUGUUUCCAUGCCCAAGGCAUUUAAAACAUUUAAUACUUCUAGUUUGAUUAGGUUGAUUCUCACUUUUACCCUUGCUGUUUGAUUUAUUUUUGCCUUUAGUUUCAUAAAUUUCAGGCUUAACAAUCGGUUUAUCAUCAUUUUUACUCUAAUUCGAUUUUCAAGAAAAAGAAGAACCCAAAUAAAGUUUUGAAUCAUACAUCGUGUAAUUUUGGAUCCAAAAUAUUUAUUCUCUAGCUUAGUCUCUACGUUAAGAAGUUAGAGAAAUAUUCCUACGUUAAGAAGUUAGAGAAAUUCGGUUAGAGAAAUAUUCCUAUGCUACCUCCCGAGGNNNNNNNNNNNNNNNNNNNNNNNNNNNNNNNNNNNNNNNNNNNNNNNNNNNNNNNNNNNNNNNNNNNNNNNNNNNNNNNNNNNNNNNNNNNNNNNNNNNNUAUAUAUAUAUAUAUAUAUAUAUAUAUAUAUAUAUAUAUAUAUAUAUAUAUAUAUAUAAAUAUAUAUAUAUAUAUAUACAUAUAUAUAUAUAUGUGUACGCGCUAAGAAAUCAAGGUGCUAAAUCACCUUUUGCUAAGAAACUAUAUGGUUGCAAGGAAAACUGUUACAGAAGAUAUUUUCAUAGAAUUAUACAAUAUUUGUAUUGUAGGUAAAGUUAAAGAAAACUGAUUUUCUAUUCCAUUUCUUGUGACUGAAGACCAAAGUGAAAGAAAGCCCAAAACAUGGUAUGCAAGGAUGAGUGAACUAACAACAGAAAGGCCAAUAAGGAAAGAUCUAUUUUCCAUUUCACAAAGAAAGAAUCUGAUGAACAACCAGAAAAAGAACUUUUGUGAGAAAUCUGGAAAACAGUUCUCCAGAUUUUUUUGGUUUUCCUGCUAACCAAACAUUAAAAUAGAAGUUCUAUAAGAGAACAAUAUUUUCCAUGGAAUUUUUAUGUGCAGUAAAACACAGCCUAAGUUAAAAGUCAGAAAAGACAACAAACAAGAAAAGAUACUAACCCCUGCCCACUCGCCAAGGGUUUUGGCACUUGGCACUGUUACUAGAUGCACAUUAUGAUCAGCACAAAGUGCUUUGACUAGCUUGACAUAGUCAGCCUGGUUACAAUCCUCAGCUAGAAUGCAAAGUUGUGCUGCAUGCUUCUCAAUUGCCUUGGCCGCCUCAUGGAGACCACGAACAAGCCCAUCAUGAGCCAAUGAUUUCUUCAUCACAAGUUGGAGAGCUGUCAUCAAGUCCAUAGGCUCCCCAAGAGCUGGAGCAGUUUUUUCAGCCUCUUCACUGCAGAACCACAGGGAAAGGGAAAGAGUGUCAAUACGAUGCAAGAAUACAGCAUGUAAGGUGUAAGCUUACUGCUCAUGGAAGAAGUUAAAAUAACAUAACAUGCACCUUGAUAUAAACAAGAAUCCAACAAAUAAAUAAUUCUUUCUAAACUUAUUAAGCAGUAAAUUCAACCACUAACAUUGCAUAUAAUUAACUUCCAUGUCAAAACCAAACUAAAAUGGAGCCUCAGUGGCUCAUUGCAAUGUUGAGAACUAUGAACAUAACAACUAAUUCACCAAUUCCAUAGAGAAGUGGCAGUGAUAUUGCCAUACAAUAUUAGUGAAAAAGAUCAACUAUCAGUUGAAGGUUACACCUGUUGAAGAGUAGUGUUCAGUCAAAAAAACUGUCCCUCUCAUGGUUUUGGCAUAGCUAAAGCCUAACCAUCCUACAAUGUCAGAAUAAUCCAACCAUAAGCAUAUGUCCACUAGGAACCCUUAAAUUAAUCUCUGGCUAAAUUUGCUGCUAGGUGGUCCUCACUAUGGACUGUUAUUAUCAGUACAAUGUGGCCAAAGGUAGAUCCCUGCAUCAAUAUUUCGGCCUAGCUCAAGCCUAAGCAUCCUAGUAUGUCAGAAUUAUGCAACUAAAGAGAUAUUUCCACAAGGAACCCUAAUAAAAUCUCUAGCAAAAAUUUGCUGUUAGAUGGUCUUCAAUAUGAACUCUUAUUAUUAGUACACCGGCCGAUGGUAGAUCCAUGCAUCAAUCUUGUUACUUGUAGAUUCUUCUCCAUGACAAGAAAAGCUUUUAGGCGAUGACAAGUAAUCACUCUUGUUAUCAAAUUUACACAUCAUAUGAGCGGGAAAAGGACUAGGAACUUAAACAAAAUCAAGUAUGACAACAACGCACCCAAAUUGCAGAACCUAAUGAGAUGCAUUCUCCUUUACUCAUACUGCAGAUCCUAAACUAGACGCAAAGAGAUAGUAUAUAGAUAUGAUUAGUAGAAGCAACUAGUGUUCGCCUGAUAUUAGAAUAAAGUCCCCAAACUUUUUGCAAGUAUUCAUUUUAAUACAGAAAAUAAGCAAUAACUAUUCAAACAAACACAAGCUCAUUAAAAUCCUUGUCACAAGUCCAAAUAGAUCAACCGAAGACAAAAGGGAGUACGGGGUAUGGACAACGUACCCGGCCAUCUCCUUCAACUCGAUCUCGAUCUGAAGAAGAGAAGAAACAAAGAAAAAGAAGCGUGAGAAAAAGAGACGAAUAAUUGUAAGGAAAACAACACGCAGAAGAAUUGAACGGAGAGUGAGCUCCACCAACACGUGGUCCGAUGGUCUUCGGAUUAGGGUUUCCAGAUGCGGAGAGCGGAAACGCGAGGCGAGAUGGUUUAUAUACGAAAGGCCGGUUUGGUUUCGACGAACCCAAUCCGGCGCGAACGGGCCGGACUUGGACUUCCACGAGGCAAAUGAAUCCAACUCAAGUCUUGCAUCAAGAUCCGUGCUCAUGUCCAUGCUUUCAAUACUUUAUACGUACUUGGGUUCCGUAUGCAUCAGUCACGAAGGAACGAAGGAACAAAGUGGCAUCGGUAACCAUGCACAGACUCGACAAAAGUAGAAAAAAAGGUGCUCGAACAAAUCGACAGUGGGUGUCCGCUGCAAUAAAAUGAACGUGCAUUUAGUAAUACCACCGUGAAGCAUCACAGCGUACAACAAAGAAGCUAAGGAAACAACAAAAAUGCCAAUGGUAUUGGCACCAAUCAAUGUCAAAAAUUUGCCAGGGAAGAGAAAGGCACAGAGAGAAGUGGCAUCAGGAGAAAUUGCCGGAGCUUCGUGGUCUCUCUCGUUGCUGCAGUGCUGGGUAAAAAGGAAUAAUGGCAGAACAAUGAAUGAGCCUCUUAACAUCAUGAGCUUUCCGUCAAGAUGUACAAGGCUCUAAAGUUACAGUCGCAGGGGUGGUGCUUCAACUUCAUCUCACUUCCCUGUGUUCUCGACAGUCGAGAAUGCAAGUGGCUCCGGUAAAUCUCCACAUGGAUUACCCUUGCUGGACUCUGGUAGUUUGACAGCGGGAAUGUUGGUAGAUCCUGGCAAUACACCGGUUUCCCCGCCUUGUCCGUCUGCAUCUUCAGACAAAGGUCGAUGCUUAUCUGUGUCUACUGCCACUUCAUCCAUGUUUUUGUCCAUUCUGAGCUGACCAUUUGGGACAUCUGCAGUUGGCUCUACGCCAGGCAUGUCAGAUCUCGAUGUCUCCCUCCACUCAAUCCACCCUAGGGGCUUGUCACCCUUGCUUGUAGUUGAGUUACUAGUGUCCUCUCUGGGCUCAUCCACAGGACCAUUUCCAGAUAUUGUAGCUUCAGAUUCCCCCGAGGUAGCUCCAGGAUCUGUCACUUGCAAAGAUGUUUCUAUGUCACUUGGAUCCUUGUUUUCACCAAUAACCACCUUGUCUGGCUCAUCCACACGAGGUGAUGUCUCACUUGAAUUUGGAGAUGAAGCAAGAGAAUCAUUCGAAUAAUCAGUAACCCCUCUAUCAUUUUCAGAAGCAAAUAAGUCGGAAUUUGUAAUUUGGGAGCUGCACGAGACAGAAUUUUGAUCAGCCUACUCAAAAUUAUACCAAGCAACCAAAGGGUCAGUGGAUGUUUUUCAGUUUGCAACUACCUGUCCUGGUCAUCCCCAAGACUCAAAGAUGAAAUAACUUCUGCCGACUCAUUAUUGAAGUAAGCAUCCUGCAAAAAUUAUAUAAUACAUAAAUGCCUUUGGCACAAACCGAACAUAAAUUCAACUAUAUGAUUGAAAAGUAUUGACAAGUUCACCUUGUCCUACCUCCUCCAGAUCUUAGUAGCACAUGAUAUGAAAUAGUAAAAAAAUGAAAUGAAACAUUUGUCGAAUUGGCAAAUCAAAUAAAUUCAAGAAAAUAGAUUUUCAAGGUUUCACGUCGUAUUUAUUACUAGAAAAUCAUUCCAAAGUUGAUAACGAGAGCAAAAGGAAAUAGGCAAUGACGACUGUGAUCAUUGUAUCAUACCUCAUCAUCUCGUUCAAAAGAUCCUUGAGCCUGCACCCAGCAGCCAAAAGCAGAUAAAUUAACACUGCCAAAGAAUCCAAAUAGUAUACACAAAACCAUAGAAAUCCCGAAAUAAAAUUUCUUUAUCAUUUAACUAUUGUGGGAAUGGUAAAAUCAGCUUCACAAGCAUCUUAGAUAUCAAUUGUUAUGCAGAAAGCUUGUCUCAAUGUCAGCUCCAAUGAAAACAAGAAUGGUGCUUCCAACCAAACAACUUUCCCAAACUAUACAAAGGAAAGAUGUGACACUUGUUGUUUAUCAUGCUAGAACAGCUUUGCAUGUUAGAUACAUUCGAUUUAAGGGCAUGUCCUAGUAGUGCAUAGAUCAUGCCAACUCGAACCAACCACCACCUUAGACCAUGCCAAAUGCCAGGCAAAGCUGAGCAUGGGGGCAUGUCAGUGCAAGAAAAACCUUGCAUGUGUUUGCCUGACUCAAAUAUCACUGACAAAAGACAGAAUGACAUACAGAAUGGCAAGUGACAAUUGAUACCACAUUCGAUGAUCAAUCUAGAAAUCAAAGAAACAUCAAUUCAAACCAAACAUAACAUACAAUCUAAGCAAAGAAACAAUUCACAGAUGAAAUUUAACAGCAAGCAAACAUUCAAAAAGCAGUACCUUUAAGAAUUAAAAACAUUUACAAUGCAUCAUGAUGUUUACCUCUUCCAUGUCAUUUGCAUAAAUUCCAUGCCGAAAAGUUUGACUCAGAUUACCAGCCAGUGUUGCCACAUCAAAAUCCCGAUCUCUGAAGUCCUCAUCAUCGCUAUCCCUGAUUCGGUCAUGUAGUGUACUAGGACGCCUUAAAAAUAAUGAAAAAUAUCAGGAUUACUUCGUCCAGAGAAUAUCCAAGAUGAAGGUACGUAAUCACAAAUGUAAAAGGUUUCAGUUUGUCCAAACAGCAUAACUUUCAUUAAGUUUCAGCAUGAAAAUGAGAAUAACUCUUGAAAACUGGAAUACACUUUAACAGGUCAAAUAUGAUAAUCAUCGGACAAGCAAUCGGUUUACAGGAUCCAAGUAUUAAAAGAAAUCAUCCCCAAACAAGAAAGUAAUGGAGGUCUUUCGUGAAGCUUAACGCUUUGACAACUCGCCAUGCAAAGAUGAACUAGGUUUGACUGCCCUAGAUCAUCAAUCAAGUGAAUCUCCUACAAAUUUCUAUAUUCAGAAUAUCUAUCUCCAACUUUGGACAACUUAGAAUACAAUUAUAAUUGCAUGUAACGAAAGUAAAAUAUACUAAUGCAAUAUAGAGAUUAUUAAGUUCUAGAAUUAUCUGCAAGCACAUGUUUAUACAAAAUUUCAGCAAAAGUGGUUGUGAAAGAUUUGAGUUCAACUUAGAUUAUGUACACACUUGAUCUAUUAUAUAAAAUCAUAGCUUAAGUCAUUAUAAUGCAAAUGACAACUACAUUUUAAACCAGUGCCUACCCAUAUGCAAACUGUAAAAUCACAUAAAAGAAAUCUACACACUCUGAGUGCCACAAAUCCAUAAUCAACCAUGAUUGUGCCUAAUUGAAACUUAAAACAUAUGUGGGAUUUCUUAGUCAAAUAUGCAUCACCAAAUUUUGCAAAUUUUCUUUAGUAACCAAAACUAUAACAAUUAAACCUUCCAAAAUUUGUUGUUAACUUACCACCAAGUAAACUUCAAAGAGGAGAAACAUUUACCUUGGAAGAUCAAUGAUGAUAAAGCUCUGAUUGAAAUGUUUGCAUUUACCAUAUACAACAACAACCAUAAUGCAAAGGGCGAUUAGUCAAAAUUUGUCACAUGGAUUAAGUUCCAUAAAUACUUAUGGGUACAUACCGAGAAAAGGGUGUGUUCUUCUCUAAGAAAUGAUAAAUAGAACUUAACAAUAACAAAAAAAACAGAUUAUUCUAUGUUGAAGACAUAAAAUGUUUGAACGAAAUAUGAAUCACGGGGAAAUUUGAUGCUAACAUAACAGAGUAUGCAUUCUAAGGAAAUUUGAUAUUAAGAGUAGGCAAAAGAGACAAGUUAAGAUAGAGCAUAUAGGAUCUUGAAAAUUUUGUGGCAUCCUUCAAAACAACCAAAAUGUCCAUGUGCAUUCAAGAGUUUUAUUUGGAGGUAUCCUGUUAUCCUACAUCAAUAUCUUUUUUUUGCUAUUAAUCACACACUCCUAUAGACAUCUUCCAUGAAAAGAAGAAAAUAUACGGAACACUUGUUCCUCGAUAAAUUUUAUCAUCAAUGCCAUUCUAGGUUGUAAACUAGUAUACAAUAAUAAUGUUCAAGCGUCCUGGACUAAUCAUAAAAAGCAUGAAAUAGCCUACCCACAAGCCCAUUGAUGAACAUUUUCAACAGAAUUCCGCUUGAGCAAGAUGUGAUUAUGCCAGUCAACCCAGUCACUGUUUUCCUGAAAAUAAAAACCCAGCUGAUGGAUCAAGUUUUUAAACAAUGAAGUAUAGGAUCAGAAGAAAAGGUAAUCAGUAUAAUUACAAGCAUCAGAUUUCUAAAUGGAGCAUAGUCUGCACACUGCCAAAAAAAAGAAUGAUCUCACAGCAUAUGUAAAUAGUAAAAUCAUCUAGAGAACUUUGGGUAGCAUGAGCAGCAGGAAGUAAUAUCAGAUUUAAUAAAGCUAUACUUAUUUAAUAUAUAUUUCAUAGUUUUUUUAGUAAUCUCCUUGGAGAUUUUAUUGCUUUGUCAUCUUAUAACAGGUAAAAUUAUAGAACAACACCAUAUAAAUGACAAACCCAAUAUGCAAUGGCUGUACAAGGACCAAAAAUUUUACCAUACAAAAAUCUAAAAAAUAAGUUAAGCUUCCAACUUCCACAACAAAGAAAGUCCACAAUCCACCAAAAUACUUUCAAAAAUUACAUUGAACCAUGACAAAGUAGAAUUUUUUAAAAAUUACACACACAGACAUAUAUAAGGAAGCUGAUUGACCUGCAAGUGUGUCUGGAUUAUGCGCUUGCUAUUUGCCAACUGCAUAAGCUUGUUCGCUAUGCGUGUCAUGUGUCCCACAUUUCCUAUUCUUGGCGGUAGCCGUCCCUCUGCAGAUAUUGUAGCCUGCAAACAGAGUUUUACACUUGCAUGGUUGUUAAUAAAUAUUCUGAUGUUAUCCUUGAGAAAGGGAACACACAAGUAUCAGAUGAAACAUAGUUAAUUUGUGGGAUAUGACACAUUUGGAGUAUGAGACAUAAUAAUUUGAGCAUCGUAGUAGCAUUCUGUUACACAAACAUUAUCUUAUUAAGUUAUGGUAUUACAGAAGUUCCAUACCUUAGUGGAAUCAGUUGACAAGGAAGUUUGCUUUUCUGCCGCAAUAAUUUUACCAGCAAGGUCACAAUCAUGCAAAAUAUGUUCAACUAAAAGAGUCCUCUUACUCUCUAAGCACGAUCCUACAACAUUCUCAACAUGAUGAUGCAAAAAAUUAUUGUAAGGGUACCUACAAAUUCCAUAAAGUUUUCACGGUAAGAUUCAAGUGGAUUGAAGCAUCAGAAGUCAUUCAGGUGUGCAACUUACUCAAAAAACAAAUCUACAACAUGCUUAAUUGCUCCCAGCUGGGUCAGUUCUUUCUCAGCAGCUUCACUACCAAUCGUCAAUAAAACAGAGAUGAACUCCACAAUCUGAAAACAAAUAAGUCAGGCAAAAACUAAAUAAAUAUGGCAUACAGUUUGAACUUUUAGGCAAGGCAUAUUUCAAGAUACUAACAAAGUAACAAAGAAUGAUGAUUUGUCAAAGUCAAACAAUUAAGUUAUUUUUCAUUAUUUAAUAAUACCAAAAUAGACAUGAAAUAUAUCUUGAAAACUGUUAAGAAAUCAAAAACUACAAUGCUACACUCAAAAAGUAGGGGACAUAAUGUACUCAACAAUCUUGACAACAUGAGCUCACAAAAGAAAAUUAAAAUGAUAGCAGUAUACCUUCAAACGGUGUUUUCCAAGAGGAGGCUGUAAUUUGCCAUAUGUGGUCUGUAAGUUGCUUUCCAAUGAAGAAACAACCAAUAGUUUCAGUAAAUCACCUGUUUCAUAUUUGAAUGAGCAGAAAACAGAGACAGAAGUUGAUAAAGAGAAAAUUAAAGUUAUUGUCGACUGGAAAAGUUUGCCAUACAAGCCAUAAUGAUCAUUCCCAAGAGAAUAAAAAGAGUAUAAUAUUAAAAGUCAAAAUUCUAUUUUAUAAGACCAAGUAUGAAAUGCAUGACAUCAUCUGCGCUUCAUGGCAUAGAAAACUGUACGUAUGUCGACAGUAGAAGUCUUCUGAGAUCUUAUUUAUAGUUAAAAACAUUCAACUACGACAUGUAUGCAAGUUUGAACAUUUCAUGCAACUGGAAGUUUUUAUGGUUUCAAGAACAUAAUCAUAUCAAGGUGAAUAAAAGAUCAAGAAGUACUUUAAAAUCAGUAAGUGUAUAAUCCAUCAUAAAAUGAGUAGAGUUAAGCAAAAGAAAAUCAGCUAAGUAUUUAGAAAUCAUCAACAGUUAUCACCAAUCAAGAAUCUACAAAGAAGAACCUCACAUAGAAAUGAGUAUACACACACAAAAACUGAAAUGAAUGCUAAAGAAAUAUCAAGAAAAAUUAUAAUGAAGUUGGAUUAAAAAAACUAGUAAAAUGAAUGGACUGGCAAAGUUGUAAUAUAUAUGUGUAUGUGUGUGUGUGUGUAGUAUUUAACUUUGACCAGAAGAAGCAUGCUCCAUCUGCAACAAAAGAGAUUCCAAUUCUUCUGCAGAAAUAGUUAUUCUAGACAAGCCCAAUGCGCUCAUUCCAGAACCCAGAGUGUUUGAUUGUUUGACCAGACAGUAUAACUGUAAUCAAAUUACCAUCUGAUAGUAAAUUGUCAGACAUACAUCACAGUGUCAAACAUUAAUGUGAGCAAUGACAUCCAUGACACCCAUAUUCUUAUAUAACACCUCUAGAUAUAUAUGCACUUUGAGACAAUUGGCAGAUAAAACUUCACAAUCCUGUUAAACCUAGAGGUUUGAGUAAGCUUCUUAUCAUUGUAGCAAGGCCAUUGUACAAGUAAAAGCUUCUGAGGGAUAGAAUGGACUAGAAUCCUUCAAGACCUUAGAGAAAUAUCCUAGUGAUUUAUAUUAUGGAGGCAUACAUGGCUUCAAGAAGAAGCUCAAACCUUUUUUUGGGGAUUCGCCAAUGGGUCUUUGGAAUAAACAAAAUAAACUAAUCCUUAGCCUGCAAGCCUUUAUGCAUCUAAAUCAAGACGGCUCAGCACACACACACACACACACACACACAAAUAUAUAUAUAUAUAUAUAUAUAUAUAUGUAUGUAUGUAUGUAUGUAUACAUAUACAUAUAUAUACAUAAAUAUAUAUACAUAUAUAUAUACACACACUUAUAACUUAGUACAGGAAAAAUAGAACUUAAUUUAAAAUUUUAAACGCUACAAAUGGUAUUAGCUUGAUGGGCACACUAUGUUUUGCAAUAACAACAACGCUACAAAAGAUUUUCAGCCAAAUUUAAACAACCUAAACAACUACCAUGGUGCUAAGUUGCAUCCCCAGACUGGCUCAGAAACAAAGUUUGGUAAAGGGCGAGCGUAAAAUUUGCAGGUCAUCCAACAAAGAUUGUUGCUUCAUCACAAGGAAUCAGAUCUCAUGCCACCAUGCCAGCUGGCACAAGCAAAAAGAAAGUGAAAAAAAAAAGUUGACACCAUUUCUAUUAUAGUGGUUGACCCCACUAUAUGUUGGCAUCUUCAGCAACGGUCAACCUGACAUGUGGCUAUAUCUUCCUAGCAUGUGAAACUAUUGACACAUGUGAAUCGGCACAUCAGUACCAAUACUACCAAUAAGCUUCAAAAGGAAAGCUGAAUCGCUUGUCAAUCGAUUGCUUUUCUGAUAUGUGAAGCCCAGUUCAUUAACAAACUAGAUUCUUUUACACUUGCACUUUAGGAGCAGACCUGCCUUUAUGGUAGACCCAUGUUUUCCAGUGACUUCUGCUGUUGCUUGACCAUCAUUGCAUGUAGUCUCAAGAUCUCAUAUAACAUGAGUAAAAAGGACGGCAUAUAAAAGAAAGGGUGAACUGAAGAAGACCUGAUGGAAAUUGUGAAAAAUAAUAACUCAAAGUCUAAAAUAAUUCAUGAUAUAGGAUAACAAUGGGCAAUGAAUGCAAAACUAAGAAACAAUGUUAGAGUUGGUUGUAGUGUACCACAAAUCCAACAGUAUAUCUUGAAAGUCAAAAUGUUUAGUCAUCCUAAUAAGGCUAGACUUUUCUGAAGAACAAUAAGUUUUAAAUCUUCGAAUAGCAGCAUUGUGCCAAAACACCAACAAAAAGAGCAACAUACCUAAUCUCUCUAGCAUGCCCUCAACGGUUUCGUGACUAGCAAUAACCAAUGAUCCAUGAGUUAGCUGGCUUCUAAAUGCUUGAUAGGAAGAUGCUACCAGUCGUUUGGGAUCUAACAAACAUAUGCAGAAAGACAAGGAGUGAACUAGGACAGAUUUAGGUCUCGAAUCUUCCAGCGCAUGAUGAAAUAAUCUCCCCACAUAACUGCAUUUUUGACAGCACAAUGGCAUCGAUGAAGAGUAGAUCAAAGUUCAAAACCCAUAUAAACUACAAUACAAGUUCUAUAACAAGUUGACAUUAUAUAGAAAUCAGGUCAUGUUUACCUUGGGCUGCAAAUUUUAGCUGAAAGCGCUGGAGGGGCACAUCGAGUAAUGGCACAAAGAAUUUCUGCUGCAUUGGCAUGGACAUGAGGAGAGUCCUGCACAAGCAUUGCAAAAUUAAAGUACUCAGUCUCAGAUAAUAAACAUGUUUCUUUUUUCUUUCUCUAUUUUUUACAGUAUAUAGCAUGUCUCAUACAGGAAACACAUGUUCCCCCUUAUUUACUUAUAGCAGAGUUCCAAGAAGGGAUAGUCUAAUACAUAGUUUUACAAUAGAUUAAUUUAAUAUACAAACUUGAAACUACACAUCAUCAUUCCACGAUGACUAGAAAAUUUUAAUGUAUUGCAGUUUUCAGUGGCAAAAGUGGCCCAGUAAUCUAUAUGCAUUCAAACAUAAUCCAAAGUUGCGAAGUAAAGCUGUGUGCUUUUGUGAUGCCUAUAUAUAGCUGUUUUGCAUACUCCAAUGAAUUUCACUGUGCCUAAAUGACAUGAUCAAGACUUCAUGUACGGCAGAUAAUCAAUUCGAGGUCGAAAGAAGGCUGUUCAGAUAUUUAAAAAACAGUUCAAGACUGUUUGGAAAAGAAAACAACAGUACACCUGAUGUAGAACAGCGAGAGAGAUUGAGAGAGAGCAAGAGAGGAGUGAGAUUCAAGAGGAGGACAAGAGAACAGAAGAGAGAAGAUGCAAGUGUUUUUAUUCAAAUCUGACGUGUUUCAUCCAUUGAUAAACUCCACCAUUUAUAGGGGUUUAGAAGUCUUAGUACAAUGAAAGCAAUGAUUCCAAGAGUGACUAGGAACUUGUAUGACUUUAAAAAAUCCAAAAUAUGACUUCUAUGAGACAUAAAUAGUUUUUAAAAAACUUAUCACAACUGAGAAGUAAGAGCGUGCACUUAAUAUAAGAGUGCACUUAAUUCAAAAGCAGAGUCCCAAGGUUAACACCUAGAUUCUUCAAUUUUCCACACAACUCUAAGAGUUUCUAGUAGGGAUCGUCGUACCGCGAGAUACCGCCCAAUAUGGGCGGUACAUACCAAUCCAAUAGGGGACCGACAUGCGAACCACUUUGUACCAGAUGAUCUAUACUAAGAGGCUCUAUAUCGCCCAAUACGAGCUUGUACCACUCGAUAACAGUUGAAAUCCGACCAUUACUGAUCAGUACAUAGGCUUGUACCACUCGAUAAUAAUCAAAAUUCAACCUAUACCAGUCGAUAAUGAUCGGAUUUCGAUCGUUACCGACAAACGGCUCAUAUCUAACCCUUUCCAAUGGUCAUAUCCAUUUGAAUGGGUUUUUAAACCAUUUCCUACCGCUCUUUCACCCCCUUUCAUUCUCUUAAACUCUUAUACUAAACUCUUAUACUCUCUCAAUUUCUUUCUCACUCCUUUCUCUCGUUCUCACAUUUGCACUCUCUUAAAACUUCACAAAGCUAUAAUUUAUGGAUUGAAUCAAGCUUGAGAGACUAAUUAUGAAGUAUUAGCAUCUAAGUUGAGGAAGAACUCUCUAAUCAAAGAUAUAUAAACAACUUCUCAAUCAAAUUCACCAACCCACUCAGUCUAGAGACAUGGCAACGACGUAGACAACAGUGUCUUGAUCGACGAUGGCAACAACGCCAAAGAGUCAAUGGUAACAUCUACACAGUUUGAGGGAGGUGUAUGGAUCGAGGAGCAGUAUUUUACAUAUGCCACCUAAAAUUCAGAUCAUGAAACUCGAUGUGAUAAUUAGUCAUUCUUCUCCGAGUAACAGUAAUAGUUGGUCAUUUUUCUCUCUGAGCAACAGUACUAUGACUGAUCUUAUAAUAUAGAAUAGUAGAUCAAUGGAGAAAGUAAAAGUUCCAACAUUCUCCAUACUCCGCACCAAUACAUGUCAUAAUCAUACUUGCCUCAAGAGUCACCUCGGACACAUGUGGUUCACGAUGACUAAACUACGACAAUCACCACAUUGAUGAACCAAUGACAUACAAUGUAUCGAUAUACUAUAUUAUGGGAUUAAUUUCAGGAUUAGGUCCGACAAACAUAUCAAAUUAGUAUACAAAUACAUAGGAUCGAGGACCCCGAUCCAUCGCUUAUGAAGUCUCAUCAUUCUUUUUGGUGGUAGAACCAGACAUAUCCAUUAAUCAAUUACUUGAUUCAUUUGGAUAUUAAAGUUUAAGUUGUUUAACAAAUAAUCUAACAAUUUAAAUCAUUUCUUUGUAGAUAAUUCAAUAUCAAUGGAAGGAUGAUCUGAAACAGUACCAUAAAGCUACUUCUCAAAGCCCAAAAAAGAUAUAUGCAACUAUUCUUUCUUAAUUUAUAUUUUUUUGCUAAAAUUAUACUAAAUUUAUAUUUAUUUCCAACUUAAAAAUCCUAAUCUAGCUUUUUUUCUAUUUUUAAAAAAUUUCAAAGUUAUUUCCAACCAUAUUCCGUGUCAUCAGUACGCCCCACCAUACCAACACAUGAUAUGUCGGUAUCGAACGGUACAUAUCAUACCAUAGGCCAACCAACACAUCGGUUUAGAUCGAUAAAGUGAACCUUGAUUUCUAGGUCACCAAUUCAUGAUUUUUUGCUAAUUUCUUUGCCUUGAAUAACCUCUUCUGAAAUCCUUUGUAAACCUAGAUGGUUCUCCUUCAGUGGAAAGAACUUGAUCCCAAAGAGAAGUCUAUAAGGUACUGGUCCAAUAAGACUGGUGCAAAGUCACGACGUUCCUCCAAAGUAACCCAAGUAGCAUCGGAAGCUGGACGAUCACGUCACUUAAUAAGAAAGUACUAAGGGAUGAUAGUAGUAUAUGUAAUAAAGCGAUCAUCAAAAUGGUCUCUAUGUCAUCCCUGUAUUGUGGGAGAGUCAAUGCUUUAGGAGGACUAAAUAAGGCGAUCAUCAAGAAUAAACACUGAUAGAUAGAGGACAUUCAAAAAUACCAUGACUCUAAAUUGAAAACUAGACUCAACAUGCAAAUCAUGGAUAUGUUAAGCGAAGGAGUGGGCUAGUCCAGAGGCACGAUAAUUAAGUGGAAUGGGUGCAAAGUCAAUGGAUACAAGGAGUAUAGCCGAGGACAACUUCAAAUGGGCCUUUUUCCGGUGAAGCGGCUUGGUUAUUAUAUGCCACUGAUUUCAAUAGGCGCUCAGGCGCUCGCCUAAGCGCUCGGGCGAGGCGAGGCGAAGCACCCGACGCCUGGGCUCGGUCUCCGGUGCUUUAGUUGGUUCAAUCGAACCAACUAAAGCACCGAUAUUAGCUGUCGUUGCCCAACCCUAACCCUACUCGUGUUCACGCUACUACUGCUGCAGCUCGCUGCCGCUGUCACCACUCCUGCUCCCGCUGCUCACCGUUGCCGCUGUCGCCGCUCGCCACUCUCGCUGCUGCUGCUCACUUUUACCGCUGUCGCUGCACCCUCGGUCUUCCCUUACACACAUCUUUCUUCUCCUCUUUCGAAAGUAUACUGUUAACAGUAUACUUUAUACUGUUAACAAUAAUGUAUUUGUAUUUAUUAGAUUAAUAAUAUAUUAUUUUGAUUUUAAUACUGUUAAUUUUUAUUUAUUUGAAAUUAUUGUUAGGUUUCAGGAUAAAUGGCAAGUGUACAGAGCAACUCAAUAGAGUCUCCAAUGAUAUCAAAAAAAGAUCCUACAUGGAAGUAUAAUUAUAUGAAGAAUGCGAAAGAUCCUAAUGCAGUGACUUGCAUAUUUUGCGAUAAAACUAUUAGAAGUGGUAUUUUUCGUGCAAAACAACAUCUAGUAGGAAAUUUCAAGAAUGCAGCAGCUUGCAAAAAGUGUCCACCUGAGGUAAAAGAAGAGUUGCUGAGUUAUAUGAAUGAAAAGAAGACACAAAAGAAUAAAUUUUACGGGAAUUUACCAUAAGACAAUGUUGAACAUCUCAGGAAUGAAGAAGAAGAUUAUUCUAUAAGUAUUAACCCAAGUAGGAAAAAAGUAUACGACAAAAAAGGAAAAGAAGUUAUGAGUACUAAGAAGGAUAAAAAAGGACCGAUGGAUCUAUAUAUGUUUCAAGGAUCCCAGAAGCAACAAGGGCAAGCAGGAGGCUCAAAAUUUAGACAAACAAAUAUAAGUGAUGCUUGUGAUAAAGAAAUAAAAGGAAGAACAAUUAAGCACAUUGCUCGCUUCUUCUAUCAGGCUGAUCUUCCCCUUAGUACAACUCGUUUAGACAGUUUUAAGGAUAUGAUUGAAGCUAUUGGAAGAUAUGGUGCGGGAUUAAAACCUCCAAAUUAUUAUGAGAUGCGAGUUCCAUUAUUGCAAAAAGAGUUGAAUUAUACAAAUGACUUACUAAAGGGUCAUAAAGAAUCAUGGGCAACACAUGGUUGCUCUAUUAUGUCAGAUGUUUGAACUGACAGAAGGCGCAGGAGUAUAAUUAAUUUUAUGGUUAAUUGCUCUUUAGGGACUAUGUUUGUGAAGUCAAUAGAUGAUUCAUCUUUUGUAAAAUCUGGAGAUAAGAUAUAUAAUUUACUUGACAACUUCAUGGAAGAAAUUGGAGAACAAAAUGUCGUUCAAAUCAUAACCGACAAUGGAAGCAACUAUGUAUUAGCCGAUAAUAUUCUUCUUUUGAAUUUUUUAAUUAUUUUAUCUUCAAUUAAAUGUGUUAAAAUCUUAAGUCUUAUCAUUUUUGUUAUCCUUUGUCUCAGGUAAAUUGCUUGAAACAAAAAGACAACACUUAUAUUGGACUCCAUAUGCAGCACAUUGUAUUGAUUUAAUGUUGGAGGAUAUUGGAAAGAUCUUAGACAUCAAGAAAACCCUAGAAAGGACAAUUUUUGUUGUUAGUUUCUUUAUAAUCAUAUUGGGUCUUUGAAUAUGAUGGGAGAAUUUACAGGAAAUAAAGAAUUAGUGAGAUAUAGUGUCACCCAAUUUGCUACUUUAUUCUUGACAUUACAGAGCGUGCAUCGUCAAAAACAUAAUAUAAGAAACAUGUUUACCUCUGAGAAAUGGGUGACAAGCCAAUGGGCAAAAGAAGCAAAAGGCAAGAGGGCUAUUGAUAUCAUCUUAAUGUCAUCCUUUUGGAAUCAUGUAGUUUAUACAUUAAAGGAAAUGGGCCCUCUUGUUCAAGUCCUUUGGUUGGUGGAUAAUGAAAAUAAGCCUGCAAUGGGAUAUAUUUAUGAGGCUAUGGAUAGAGCAAAGGAGACGAUUAAAAGGUCUUUUAAUGAAAAUAAAGAAAAAUAUGAGAAAAUUUUUACAAUCAUUGAUGAAAGAUAGAAUUGUCAACUUCAUCGUCCCUUACAUGCAGCAGGAUAUUAUUUGAACCCUAAAUUCUAUUAUAAGAUUAAAUCUGUUGGGUUUGAUGCAGAAGUUUUGGAUGGGUUAUAUCAGUACGUUGCAAGAUUAGCUCCCAGCCUUAAGGUUCAAGAUAAUAUUAUUCAUGAAUUAUGUUUAUAUAAAAAUGCCGAAGGUCUUUUUGGAAUUCUAAUUGUCGUUCGAUCCAGGACAACUACGUCUCCAGGUAUUAAUAAUUUGAUAUAAUUAAUUUCAUAUAUAUUAUGUUACUGUAUUAUUGCUAAUAAUAACAUAAAUUUUGCAGUUGAACGGUGGAGUCUAUUUGAAAAUUUCACUCCGAACUUACAGCAAUUUGCUAUCAAAGUACUUAGUUUAACAUGUAGUGCUUCGGGUUGUAAGCGAAAUUGAAGUGUCUUUAAGCAUGGAAGGAUCACUAAAUAUUUUUGUUUUAAUUUAUUUAUUUAUUUAUUUAGAUAGAUGUAUUAAUAUAUUUUUAAAUUAUAUGACAUGAUAGAUUCACUCGAAGAGAAGAAAUCGGUUGGAACAUCAACAAUUGCACGAUCUUGUUUACAUAAAGUAUAAUCAAGCUUUGAAGGCUCGUCAUGAUUUGCAAAAUAAAAUUGAUUCAAUCUCAUUGUAAGAUAUUGAUGAUUCAAAUGAGUGGUUGGUAGGAGAAAUGGUUGCUAACUUGCAAGAUGCCGAAGACGAGCUUGUAUUUGAAGAUGAUAGAUUGACAUAGGGAGAUGUGGCAAGAGCUUCAGAUGCUGGAGAAUUACAAACAUAUACAAGACAGAUGACAAAAAGAAAAAUGAGUGUAAAAGCAUCAAGCUCGGCUCCUGCUAUUGUUGAAGACAUAGAGAAUGAAACAUAUUUUGAUGAAGAGGAAGGAGUCGAAGGAUAAGAAGAAGAGGACAAAUUCAAUGAAGAUGAUUUGUGUGAAAAUAACGAUAAUAUUGAUUAUGAUAAAAGACUUUUAUGUAAAAUUUUAUUGUUUUGAAUUUUGAAACUUUUUGGUAAUGUGACAUUGUGAUUUUGUAUCUUAGAUUUUCUUAAUUUAAUAGCAUAUUUUUAUUUAAAAUUUUAAAUAAUUAUAUUUAUUAAUUAUAUUAUAUAUUUUUAUAUUUUAGCGUCUCGCUUCGCUCGGGCGAGCGCCUAGCGCUUGGGGCGUUUUUGGACCUUGAAGCCUUUUGGCGCCUAGCGCUUUUUAAAUCACUGUUAUAUGCAAACUCUGUCAUAGGUAAGGUUAAGUCCCAGUUUUUCAGUUUCUCUCUAAUUAAACAUCUAAGAAGAUUUUCCAAAGAACAAAUAACAAUCUCAGUUUGACUAUCUAUUUAGGGUGAAUGGCUAAAGAGAACUUCAAUAUUGUGUCAAAUAGUUUUCACAAAAUUUUUAAAAAGUAGCUAACAAAUUUCACAUCCCUGUCUAACACUAUGGUCGAGGGAAAACCAUAUAACUUAACCACUUUAUGAAAGAACAAUUUAGCAAUGUAUAAGGCAUUGUUGGUCUUCUUACAUAGAUUAAAGUGGGUCAUUUUAUAAAAUCGAGCAACAACAACCAGAAUAGUCAUAGCCACGAGAUAUUUUGGGAAGUCCAAGAAAAAAAUCUAAACUCAUAUCUAGCCAUAAUGAGUACAGAAUGAGUAAUCAGGUAUAUAGGCCAGUAUUGUGCUUGCGAGUUUUGACAAUUUGACAAGUGUGACAAUGCGACACUAGUCGAGCAACAUCUCGCUUUAAGGAAGGCCAGUAAAAUCUAUCCUCAACUAAAUGCAAUGGUCUUGUUGCUCAAGUGACUCUUCAACCUCAUUCAUGGGUUGUUUUCAAUGCAUUGAAGAUCUCCCAGGACUUGGAUCAUUUGAUCAAACAACUAGUUCAACAUUGUGUCGUUAUAUACUAGUUUGGUCUUAUGGGUGUCUCCCUCAGUGUACUGGUCUUAGGAAUCAUCAAGAAUAGGUUGGUUUUCACCACGUCUAAUCAUGAUUCUAAUGCUAUCAACAAAUUGCCUUUUGAUAAUGAUGUUGUUAAUUGUUGCAAUGCACAAGAUAAAGGUGUAAUGAUUCAAGUUGUUCUCUCACCUUUUUUUUUAACAACUUUCUAGGUUUUAAAGUUCAAUACUACUCUUGUUAAAGUUGUGAGAGAAAAAGGGUGAUAAAUGAAAAAACAAAAAUGAGGGAAGAAGAGAUGAAGAAAAUCACGAUAUAAGGAAAUACAUAAUUUUUUGUAACAAUAAUAUUAGUGAAGUUUUCAAAAAAUUACCAAGCACCGAGAGCUAAGUGGUUCACCAAUUCCGUAGGAACAAUCACCCCAAAGUCCAACUCCAUACACAAGGGGUUGACGUUGGAGGUGCAAGGCUCUGAGUUUUGAUUAAAGCUUUUAUUACUAGUUGGGACCCAAUGGGGUGCAAGGCAGAUUUCUUGAUAUACUCUGACCAAAUUGAUGUAGAACAUAAAGAGAAAUAGAGAGAGAGAGAGGGAGAGAGAGAGAGAGAGGAGUGAGGUUAGAGAGGAGGGUAAGAGACUAGAGAGAGAAUAUGCAAAUAUUUUUCAGUCAUAUUUGAAGUGUUUCGUCCAUUGACAAGCUCCACUAUCUAUAAGGGUUUUGGAGUCUUAGUACAAUCAAUAAAGACAAUAAUUUUCAGGAGUAACCUCCUAGGGAACUUGUAUGUAUUUUAGAAACCCAAAAUGUAACUUCUAUGAGACCUCAAUAGCUUUAAAGAAAUUAUCACAGUUGAAAGUUUUCACAGCUGAGAAGUAAAAAAGUAAACUUAAUACAAGAGUGCACUUAGUACAAAAGUACAAUCCCAAGGUUAACACCUAAAAAGACCAAAAGACUUCAAUUUUUCACACAACUCUUAGCGUUUCUAGGUUACUAAUUCAUGAUUUUUUGCUGAUUUCUUUGCCUCAAAUAACCUCUUCUGAAAUCAUUUAUAAACCUAGAUGGUUCUCCAUCAACACCAAUCAACAAAAAUGUUGAUGUUGUUUUUGAAAAGAGAACAAUAUGAAAAAGUUGAGCCAAAUAUUACUACCUUCAAGCUGUAAAUAGAAAGAAAAGAUGCCAUUUCAACAGUAAAAAAGAUAAACAUUUGGUAUGCAACUCAGUUGAAAACAAAAUGAAAAACCUUCUUUUAUCAAACUGCAUCCAUCAUGCAUCUCUAGUCUACAAAAAUCAUCACUUAUUAAAUAAAGCCCCAUUAAAAUGUCAUAAUUCUAACCAAGGUUCGCCGUUCCGUAUCAUACCGGUGUUUCGACCCGGGCUCGGUAUGGUACGGUACCGGUGUACCGAGCGGUACACCCUGGUGUACCGAAUAAUUUUAUAUAUUUUCAUACUGUAGCAGUGCUACAGUGUAGUACUGUAGUACUGUAGCAGUACCGGGCGGUCCGCGUACCGAUAACCUGUCGGACCAGUAUGUACCGCCUGGUACAGGCAGUACGCUUCGGUAUGGCAGACCUUGAUUCUAACCAAGGAUUGUCUUUUUUGGGUACCUAACCUGUUUCGGCAAUAUGUCGGACCGGUACAUACUUGUCUACCGACAAAUACACCGGUGCAUACCGAUGUUUCGACAAGGAACAAAAAAAGCAUGAAGAGGAAGUGGCGAUAGAGGAACAAAGGAGGAAGGAGAAAGGGAGAAGGAAGAAGAGGAAGCAGUGGAGUAAGAAGAAGAAGGAAGACGAAGAAAGGAAGGAGAAGAAGCAACAAUAGUGUACCUAGGAAGCAGCAACAUUGCAGAAGCAAAGCGGAAGUCGCAACGGCGAGGGCAGCACCAUCGUAUGCGAGAAUAGGGCUCACGUUCGUGAUCCCUUUUUUAAUGCUGAGUUGGAUAGGGGCUCACUACUUUUUUAUUUUUUUAUUUUAAUCGGAUCGCUCGAAAUGGGGGUGGUCCACGUAUCGGCCCACUCUCAAACCAGUAUGUACCACCCAUACCAUACCAUUUCGAGCAGUACAAUAGUCUAUGAUUCUAACUGAACUAAGAAUGCUAAAUCUAUGAAACAAUUUCUCUCUUAAAAGAUGUAAAAUUCUGUAAAAUAACUAUAAGGAGACAUCUGCCUUCCUGAAUUAUGUUCUUGAUGAUAAUGAUUUUUUUAAUCCAGUACUUACCUACAAUAUAACUUGUAAACGAAGAUAUAGGUAAAUUAGCAUCCUUGAUGGCCUUUAAAUUAGUUGAUAAAAAUAUGAACAUAAAUCAUCUGGAAAACAAAAGGCACAGAAAAGAACUGCAUAGCUCAACUUGAAACAAGUUGAAAACACGAUAGGAUCUCAGCUCAGUUCAGUUUCAUGUAAUCAAACUGAAAGCCAAGAAUAAUGGUUGACACCAUGAUGACAGCCUUCUUUCCAGUGACACUAACUAUAGAGAAACUAAUCAUCUUAGUUGCACAUCUGAAAAAUUGUUUCCACCAAGAUGUGUGUGUGUAUAUAUACACACCAAGAUGUGUGUGUGUGUGUGUGCAUAUAACAAUUAUGCUUUGCAAUUGAAAAGGUUCAAUGAAUCCAGGGAUUUCUUGUUAAAGGGAAUUCAAUAAAUUUCAUUGUCUUAAUGAGACAGCCAUGAUAUUCUGCUCAUCAUCGCAGCCGAAAAUGCACUUGAUUUAUGUUACUAAUAAUUUAAGGAAAUAAUUUUUUCGAAAAACAUCAUGAAGGAGAGAAAGAGAUAUCAUAAAAGAGAACUAUCAAAAGAAAAGGAAAAAAGGAAAAGUGCAUGCAAGUAAAUUAGUUCAACAAUAGCCGUUAUCCCAACCAGUUGGGGUUGACAACAUGUAUCUCUUGCCACCAUUUUUGGUCCAAUUUUAUCAUAUGAUGGCCUAGCCUUGCUUUGAAAUCAGUGUUGGUACCAUUUUCAUAAUUUGACAAAGCUUUAUGUUUGCUAUUAGUUGCCUAAAGCAAUCCUUCUUUCCCUGAGAGGGACUACCACUGAAGUAUUUUCAAAUGUCGUAUGUGCAAGAUGCAAACAUACAGAGAACCUAUUAAGUGAUUUUUCUCAAAGAAGUUUAACAAACAUUAUGCAAUUAAAUUCUAACAAAAACUUCAAUUCUAAAUUUCUGUGGGCUACCCUAUCCGUUAAUGAAUGGCAUUAUGCAAAGAUAUUCUAACCUUCUUGAUCAACACCUCAGACUUCAGGAUAUAGUAUCACAACAUAAAUUAGCAUAAGCCAAAUAUAACUCCAAUGUCCCUUCAAAAAUCUACAAUGUCAAGACUAACCACUCAUGUUUAAGAGAAAUAUUGUCUUUAUUUUUUCUAUAGUGAAUUAGGUCUUCUUGAUAAUGGAAAUCAUCCAAGGAAGCCUCUGGUAUAUCGGCAGAGACCUAUUGUUGACUCAACAUUAUUUGGCCUUCACAAUAUACUAUUAGGAAGUCAUUCAUAAUAACAAUCUCACAAGAUGACAAAAAUUCUGUCAACUGUGCCUACUUAGAUACUAAAACUUAUGAUGCUUCAAAACAUUAGAACUUUUGUGGGGUCUGUAAACUUUCAAAUAUUACUGAGAAAUUCAAUACAUACAAUUAUUUAUAAGGACAACAUAUUCUUUUCAUCAGGUAAAUGAUAAACAAGAUCAAUUAUACAUUGGGAUCCAGCAUAUCACAUACCGAUGAACUAAACUUAUCCACGAUCAUCUCGAGAACAUCAGUAUCUUCCACACACUGCAUUGUAUCCAUGUAGCCGAAUUGCAUAUUCUCAUCAGCACCAAUCAAUCGAAUGAGAACCUGCUUCACAUUGCCAAUUUCAGAACUAGUUGAAAAAAAAAAGACAGAAAUGCUAAGGACCAGUAUGUUUGUAGAUUUGCAUAUCAACACAAGAACAAACAUAAUGAAACCAUGAACUGCUAACCUCCAUAAUAGAUGUGAUUCCAAUGAGAUCCACAAGUUGAUGAAUUAUUUCUCGAUGACCCUAGACAAUAACAAGAGAAGUAAAUGCAAACCCUCAUUAAUGCAAGUGAUAACAGAAAAGAGGACACCGUAGAACUUUAGCAAAUAACAAACAUUAAUAGUUGAUAUCCAACAGAAACCAGAUUAUAAAGCUUGAAGCAUCUAUAAAACAACUCCAAGAAAGUGCAGAUAAAGCGCAGUAGGAAAAACCAGUGCAAAUCAUCUUCCACACAAGACCUUAAUGCUCAACAUCUAGUGAUGAAGUCAAUCAUUCAACUUUAUGUUUUUCAUAAAAAGAUGGGAGAAUUCAUACAAAUGUUCUCUCAUUUUGAUGGACCAACUGACAAUUUGACCAACCAUAUUCAGCAGUUAAUGCAAAGCAAGCAUAAAUAUUUUUUUCACCAUUUCCAUAAGACCAUAUGAGAAUGAAGGCUAAUCAGCUUCCUCUUAUUCAUGGCUACUGUGCAUACCAACAAAAAACAAUGGAAUUCAAAUUCUCAGAAUCCCUCUUAUACAGUCAUGUUAAGAACACAAAACAAAACUCCAUGACAAAGAAAACUUAAUACCAUCUUGGUAGAGGCUAAUUGAACAAAAAGAAUCAAAACAGAGAAAUUUUAAUUUUUUUGCUUUACCACGUGAACAUCACAAACCUGAACAUAAUUAAGAAGAGGGCCUGCUUUCCGCAUCAUUAGGCAUAUCACAACCUUGCCAAACAACAUAAAAUUUGCAAUACUAGGUGUUAGACACAAAGAAAAGCUUGAAAAUGCUGAGAAAUCACUUGUAACAUUAGUUGUCUUAUAUAAAAAGUUCCAGUGAUUACCUUACUGAAGUAACCAGCUAGCAAUGUACUAUGUGGGUGAUCAGGCUUAAGGAAGGAGAAUAACAAAUCCAGAAGCUGAAACAAGAGAAAAAAGGUGCAAUCUAGAAAAGAGUGGUCAUGUUUAAUCAUACAUAAGCUGUUAGGAGUUUCAUAGAGACAUUUACUUGUACAUCCUCAACUAAAGCCCUCAAUAUGAUAUCAACAUCACAGGUAAAUAUCUCACAUGCAAUAAACGGAAACCUGUAUAAAGACAAGUUUCAACAAAUAAGUCGAGUGGCAAAGUAUUCAAACAAUAUCUCAGAAGACAAAAAAAAUCAUAGCUCACUUGAAAAUAUUCUUCUUAUCAGCAUCCUCAGGCGGCUCCUCUAUAAUAUAACGAAGUAAUUGCUCCAAUUGGGCCUUUCCUCUCAAACUGCAUAUGAGGAUAGCAAAAUAAUAAACGACGAAUAAAGCAUUGCAAAGAGAUCAAAACAAAAUUGCAAAUUACAGAGACGCCUAUGUUCAGAUUCGGCAUUAACAAAAAAGGUUGAAUACAAGGAGAUGUCCAAAAAUUAAUUACAAUAUUUAUGUCACAUAUUUACUUUAUUAAAUAGAAACGAUUACAAUAUAAAAUAAAUUAAAAAACAAGAUAUAUUAUGAUUGCUUCAUAUUUCAAAAUUAACAUAAUUUGCUCAGUGCUUGUUUCUUGCAAAGGAAAAGCGGAUAGGCCAUUCCAACAUCAAAUAUAAUAAGCAUUGAGGCAUCUGGCACUCCAACAAAUAGGUGGCAUCCAAAGAUGCAUCUAAAGAGAUUCUUUUUAAUUGACAUGAGAGGAUCUAUAAGCUUACUAAGAUACAUAAUACUUACUCCCCUCCUUACACAGAGAUGGCAGUUUAUCCUUUUUUAUCAGUAAGUAAAAAACAUUUUAUUGCUUAAAACAAAAAGAAAGCAUACAUUUCAUCUAUAUGCUUGUUUACUAAGAUACACAAUGUUUGUUCCCCUCCCUAUUACAGAUAUGGCAAUUUAUCUCUUUUUUAUCAGUAAGUAGCUUAUUGCCUAAAACUAAAAUUUUCAUUCUAUAGAAUUGAGUAAGACAAGAAACAAACUAACCAGUAACACUUGAAGCUAUAUAACAAUUAUAUCAUAGAAAACCUAAGAUCAUGAAGUUGCAUUGCCUUCCUUACUUCUACGUACUAGUUCAGCAGUAGAAAAAUUAAGAGAUAGGAGAAAGAAGUCCAAAAGUUACCAAGAGAUUCAAUUUCAUCUGGUCAGGUCUGUACUUACCAGACCUGACCAGACGAAACUACCAGUAUUUACUAGACCAGGUAUGAACCAAGACGUGGACCACCCCAUUUUGGAUGAUCCGUUCUGUUCAUUUUGUUAGAUGUUAGGCUGGAACUUUUUUCUUUUAGAAGGCUCCAACACUAAACCAGAUGCCUUUUAGGGCUAGCGAGAAUAAGCGAGCCUGUUCUCCCUCUCCGCACUGUCGCACAACCACCAUGGCCCGCCCAUCGUCACCCAUUGCCUACCACUCACCUCAUCUCCUACAUUUCUCUUUCUCCUCCUUAUCCCUUCUUCUCCCUUCUUCCUCCUACCCCCCCCCCCCAACAGAACGCUACCACAGUUCAUGCCGACAUACAAUGUAUUGAUAUGUUUGCAUAUAUUGGACCCGUACCACUCUAGCUAUCAACCGGUAUGGGUUUGGUACCCAAAAUUUCAUUCCUUGUUGCAUGGUAUAUAUCUACGUACCUCCAAAACACAUGUACAGCUCAGUAUUUCUAGGAAUGGGUGAUAUAUUAGAACACAAUUGACAUAUAAGAAAGCAAGCAAACAAAUAACAAACAAAGAGGAAACAAAAUAUUACCAUUGAAGGUGCUUGAUUGAUUACCAUUAAAAAAAGGUGUUUGAAGGCUAGUUUUUCUAGUAAACCAACCACAAUUUGUACCGGCUGAUAGCCAACAUGUACGUGAACCAAUCAAUUUCACCAAUCUAGCCCAGAAGAAAGCUAGCCACUACAUAAACUCAACAUGUAAGGGUAUCACCAAGCACCAAUAUCGAGGUUUUUCUCCCAGUACCAGUAUUGAGUUCUUUUCCUAUUUUUCUCUGUUUUUUAUAAUAUCAACAGCAUUUUUUUAGGUUCCUCUCUCUCUCUCUCUCUUCCUUUUGUUUCCUCUGUAGCCUUGCCUCCUUUUCUUCUUUUCCUCCUCCUCCAUUACCACUACCACCACCACCACCACCUCCUCUUCUUCUUCCUCCUAUGCCACCACCUCCUCCACCACCACAUCCUCUCAAUCCCUCCCUCCUCAUCACCAACCAGACACAGCAUCAACGUGUAUGCCUGCUGACACAUAGGACACCCAGUGGCACCAAUACAAAUAAUAGUAUGCCCAAGGACCACUUUCAGCACUAGACAGAUUUGUAACCUCGCUCAACUGUCCUUAUCAUUAAAUUUCCUACUGUCCCUCUUGUUUCUCUUCCUUGCUCCUCCUCAUCGACAUUCAUUCCCACUUCUUGUCUUCCUUUCCUUCCUACAACAGUGAUGAAUCGCCCAUAUUUGGCCAACUCUAGCUUAUUGGUAUGAGUCAAUCUAAGUUUGAAAAGGACUUGUAGAGAGAGAGAACAGAUAGCACUGACAACAAUGAGGACUUCAAAACCAAACCUAUGAUCGUAACAACCAAUAUUACCAGACUGAUCUCAUACUACUCGAGGUCGACUUAAUAGAUCUGUUUCCCACCUUUAAAAACUACUGAGGCCAAUAUAACUAGAAAAUGAAGAAAACCUAAUACAUAUAAUAGAUACAUUUUUAUAUUUUAAAAUAUUCAAUUUUAAAUAUAAUGAUUAUCUCAAGCUCGAGUCUCCAGGAAUGAAUGAAAAAACAAAAAAAAAGAAGAUUGUGACUUUGGAUAGUGACUCCAGAAUUUCAUUUAGACUCCUAACAAUCUGUUUAGGCAUAGAACUUUUAAAUUGCAUAAUUUCCACAUUUUUCUUCUGUUGUUAUUUUUCAAUGUGAUGAGACAAUUGGUGUUCCAGUGUAUGAAUGUAUAAAUCAAUAUUUAAAGCAUUUAAACGACCUUAUGGUUUAUUAUAUUUGUGCGGUCAAUUGUUCUCAAACCAAAACAGGUCAAUUACUAGUUUGAUUCUUGCAUUCUUUUUAUAUGCAUUUAUGUUUUCUUGAAUUGUUUGAGACAGUGUGCAUAGUUUUUUUUAUUUCUUUUCUUCUAGACUUUCUUUGGCCCUGUAGAAGGAUGCAUCACCAAACGUUGGUAUAUUUAUUCACAUUCAGUCAAAAUAUUGAAGAUAAUUUUCCACAUUUUACAUUUAAUUGGGUUAGUAGCAGUCAGGUUUGUCGCUCAUUCAAAGCUAGCUAACUAAUGGAUAAAUAAUUUAAUACUAUAGAAAAGGAUACACCAAAAUUUUCAGCAUCCUUUUUAGUUUUUAGUACCAUAUCUCAUUCAGUGCUAGCUAACUAAGAAAAUUUAAAGUUCUUCCUAUAAGAUCGUUAUCUCAACAUGUAAAAGCAAAUGAUUAGAAGCAAAUAUGUAUAUUCUUAAACAUAGACCAAAAAGCCAAUACUAGAGUAAAACAAACUAUUACAAAUUUAAAAGACGAGUAUUCAGUGCUUUGCAUUCUUGGAUUAUUUCAUCCUCAUCAAGAAGAUCUUCCAAGGUAAAGUUUUCCUUCUCCAAAAUAGCGUCUACCUGAAACAAAGCUGGAACCAGUAUUAAAAAAUGCAUUUUGUAUUAUACGCAUUAUAUAAACUAAUAAUGACAAUGCUUAUGAAGGGAAGAAACAGCAAAUAUUUUCGCAAUCAUAAGUAACAAUAUACAAAAAUUUCCCGUGGUGACAAAUGGUAACACAACGCGCAACCCAAAAUUCGGACGAACAAAACCCCAAUCCCAUCCAAGAAGGUGAAAGAAUAAGAAAUCGAAUCCAGUAAGAGCGUAAAGACUCACGGGAGACGCUUGACUCAGUCCGGUCAUGCGCCAGAACAUCCUGACGGCCCCCGAUCGAAAGAUCCCAAGCGCGCCUCGGGCGCCCCAACUGCCAGAUCUAGGGUUCCGGGGACCGGAACCCUCGCCAAUUGGCUCCAAGAAAACCCUAUGGGGGGGAACAGAACCCUAGGAUCCCCGAUCCGCUCUUCCUCGGGCGGCUUCUUGAAGGCGAAACAGAUCGAUGGUCGGAGGAAAACGCGCUUCAAAGAAGGAACGCGCAGCGAAUUGGCCGGCGAUUGGGAAUGGGAGGGCUCAAAGGGAUCGAUCUCGAGGAGGGUUUGAGGGAAGAACGAGAUGAGGAGGGCAGAGGAGAGGGAGGGAGAAGGGAAAUGGGCGAGCCCUUCAAUCGCGGGAGACGAAAGAAGGAGAUCGUUAGGCCUACGGUUUGCUUAAAUACGGCCCCCUGGCGAGUGCUUCCAACUAUUUCGGGAGAUAAAUUAGUUUCUUUUUUAUUUAUUAUUGUAUAUAUAUUGUAUUUUUUAUAUCCUUCAAAUUUUUGAAAAUAAUCAUUUAUAUAACUUUGGUUAACAUCCAUCUAUAAAAUUGGCAACAUAACAUCUAAAAUAAAAUAUUCUUCUCAUUAAUACACAUGAUAAUUCAUAAUUUAUGGUAGUCAAAUAAUUCUUGAGGCUUUUGAUCGGAUGAAUUUUGACCCGUACGAGUUUUAUGACUCAUUUGAGCAGGAUUUCAAUGAUCAAAAUCUUUUUAAACUUCAAAAAGACUUAUUUUAACUUAGGCAUCAUGCCUCAUCCCAAAUAAAAUAUUUGGAUCGCAUCAUCACAGUGCAACAAAUGGAUCGAUGCAUGAUGUAUUGACUAAUUUAUAUUGCAUGAACAAACACGGAACUUGUAAUUAAUUAAUUAAUUCCUUCCAAAAAAUAUUCUUACGAAAAAUAAUGAUCAAGUUAGCUUUAUAUCAACAACCAAAAUGGGCGUAGCAAACUCUCAAAUUAUUUGUUUGCUUAUCUUAAUUACUAGUUCAUAGGCCAACCAUUAUCAUGCUCAAUUUAAUUUGGUCAAAUUCCAGUCAAUAUAGCUUCCAAUUUGUGAUAUCAUUUGAGCUACCUUGAAGGUUAAUUAUGAUCGUUCUUCUAAUUGAGAUCCACCGUCGUUUUGGAUGUGAUCUUUAUUAGUUAUAAUGAUCAAAGACUAACUAUGGUACUGUGAAGGCAGAUCUUGAUCAUUCAUACUACAUAAGAAAACAAUUAUAGUCAUCUAUUUAUUUUGUGGCCAUGCAUAAAUUUUGGAGCAUUUUGAUAUAAUUUCCUGCUAGUUUAGACCCAAUAUAACUAUUUUGAUAUCAUUUCUCAUCAAGUUAAUUAAAAUUUUAACUUGAGUGAGUUGGUUGUGAAAACAAGUUUAAAAGACCAAAAAUAAAUUUAAUUAUGCUAUUUUAACUUUGUGUGGAGAAAAAUCAUUUAAAUUUGUUUUGAAUUUAAAAUCAGAUUUUUUUUAAUUUAAGAAUAUUUUCCAUGUUUAACCAAAACUGGGAUGUUAUGGACUGGUGAAAAGAAAUUCUUUUUUGAAGAAAUUAUAAUAUUUGUUUCUUGAACAUGUCAUAAUGGAAUAUAACCACAAACCUCUCAUAAUUGUUAGGCUUUGGCUGAAAUUAUAGAUAUUGUGGUUAGAAGAGGUGAGACAAUUGAAUUAGUAUUAGUAGUAUGAGGAUAGGUAGAGAAACAUAUAAAAGUUUUACUAGAAACUAUAUAUGAGGAUCUAUAUGAUUCUAAAUUGACUAAAAAUAUUAUUUUAUGUUGAACUUAAUGAUAACUCCAAUUUGUAUGUGCAAAGCAAAGAGAUGGAGAACAAAUGUAGUGCUGAAGGGGAUGAGAGAAGAACCAUAACAAAGAAAUGCAAGCAGAAGAUUUGUGGAUUGAUUUGGACAAAGAUCAAAUAACCAAGUUGUGUCUCUACUUUAGCCAUUGGGUGUAUGUUCUUAAGCAGCUUGCUGUUUCCUUUCAUCUCGAAACAAAUGAUCUAUUAUACAUCCUACUGAUUCAUCAGAAAUGAACACAAGUGUUCCCUUUUUUAUCCAAAACAUCUUCCAACUUCUCUUGCAAAAGUGAUAUUGGGAUGAAAAGAUAUUAAUCCAAGUGAUGAAAAUUUCUUUUGUCUUCAGGCUUAUUGAUCUUACUAGAACAUUAGAUUAAACUUGCUGUGAUGAACUGAUGUCUGAAACAGUUAAUUAGGCCAUCCAAAAUAAGCUGCAUACAAUAAAGAAAAUAACAGAAGUGUUGCAGAAUUAGUUCCAACAGAUUAAUGCAUACUUUUGAUCAAUGAUUGUUAUAUCUUCAUAUAUUAUCAACAAGCAAAACCCUUAUUCUGGCAUUUCUCUGAACUAGGAAAUAUAUAUUUGUAUAUUAACACAUAUUUUUUACCUGUACAAAUGGACAACAAUGCUGUUCAACCUGCGGAAUUCCUUAGACAAAUAUAUACCAAGGAUUCAUACACUGAUUCUGAUUCUGAUUCUGAUCCUAGUCAUAGAGGAGAGAGGAUUGGAGUAGAUAAAGAGGGAGUUACAAAGAUUUCAAGACACCACACCUUCUUCAACAACCAGCAUGAACAUGAAAGCUUGAGUGUUUCAGACACCACACCUUCUUCAACAACCAGACCAUGGACCAGUAAUGUAUGUAGAUUUUUCCUCUUUAUUCUUUUUGUUAUAGAUACUGUUUGCAUUUUCUUGAAUGAAGCAGAACAACUGCUGCGGAACCAAUUGAAUAAUGAGAUAAUUGAAUUAACCUUGUUAUAUGAGAUAAUUGAAUUAAAUAAUUUAAUAAUGAGAUAAAAAAAAACCUUGUUAUAUGUCUUACAUCAACAAUAAUGAGAUAAUUGAAUUGAAUAGAUUGAUAAUGAUUGGUGAGGAUGUAUAUCCUGUCGGAUGCUUUUAAGGUAUACUCUAUAGUUAUUGUAUAGGUUGUAUGUAACAAAAUAACAAAUAAUAUGAACACUAAGUCAUGAAAACCCGUUGCCUCCGUUUAUUGAAAUCUUUCUCUUAUUGCUUCUAUCUUCUUCAACAGAUCUGCGGCCUUUACAUCGGUGCAACCUAACUAUCACGUCAUUGACUGCAUUCCGAAGCAUCAUCCAAAUAUCCAAUCCACCUGCAGCAACUUGAAGAACCCCUCAAUGCUUCAAACACUCGACAGCCUCACAUGCAAGAUUGCAAACCUGGCUUUGGAUGCUUCGAGGAGAACGAUUAGCUGAACAAGUUGGCAACCCUCAAUAAUUUGUCUUCCCUGACGGAGCCCCCUUGCAGAGAUGUUUGACAGGAAAUGGCAGAUCUCACUGUGCUAAUGGAGAUACAGAUGAUAGUCCACUCCAUUUUGCCCUGGUCCUAUUUGUGCAUCGCAUGUGAGAGCAAUAAAUGCCAAACACUGUGGAUUUGUAUGAAGCUGCAGCAGAAAUCAAUUGUCCUCCCUCAUGAGUUCAUGUCUUUUUCAUGGAAAACAUCAUCCAACAUCAGAUGUGUAUUUUAACUUUGAGUUCCCCCUCAUCAAAGCACUCUGACGUCAAUAAGAAAUGCCAAUAUGAUACAAUAAACUCUCAGAAAAAUGCUGCGUAUAUAAUCCUUGCCUGCCAGUGAUAUCUAUGAUCCACCAUUUGGCUCAUUCCAAGCAUGUAGAAGCAUGACCACGUGAUAUCAUACCCCACAUGAAUCACAGGUCACAAAAAUUGAUGUGCAUCAGAAAUAAACAAAUCAUUCUCAUCAUUACACUGUUAGUUUCUGUAGCUCUUUCCCUAUUAAUAAAAUCAACCUUGAUAAAUUGAAUGACCAAUAAUACAUCAUCACCUUACGGUGGAGAAUGAUUUAAACAUGUUUGGGUGUAUUGUACGAACAAGAAAAACCUGAAGCUUGAAGGUCCUGUGAAGAUUCAAGCUCACAAGUCAUCAGAGUUUUUCUUUUGGUCUGCCACAGUACAGCCUGUUUCUGCAUCCGCGUGGAGCUGAGGAGCAACUCGCCAUGAUAUAAAAUCGGCGGAGGUGUUGUCAUCUGCAGGUAAACAGGUCCGGAGGCUGCAAGUGGUUCGGCUUGACGUAGCAAGCAGUGGCUUUUUGUUCUUCCAUGGCCAGUACGGAUGACCUCAAACCCUGGACGAGGAGGAAGACGACCUUCCGCUUGCACUUAUCUGACACAAGACUCACACACGCAGAAUACAAUCAUAAAGAGGUGUGGGGGGAUUCGAUAAAUCAAAUAAAUAUAUAUGUGAAUCAUCAUCACAUGAAUCAGAAACAUUAGUAGAGGGGGAUUCCAUUAUAAUCUUCUCGAGUCAUGCUAAAUAACACGGUGGAGCAGCCAUGCUACUGAGUGCCGUGCUCGUCUCGUUGGUGAGUUCCGACCGGUGCGCGUGGCCCACGUGUCCCGACUCGUCGCGCCAACCACGUGCGACUCGGCCGCGUCCCACCUCGCUGCGACAACAUCUGUGGCCCGGGCCCAUCGCAUCAGAACCGUCCGUCGGCGUGGCCGUGAACGCACUCCGGCGCUCCCUAAUUCGCCCACGUGGCGACGUUUUGUUCUUCCCCCCUCGCUCCUCGCCGAGAAUACCGCGUGCCGUCUGUCUCUGACGCCAGCCGUCCAUCCUUUGAUAAGCAUGAAUCGAGAGGUCCCGCCGUGCCGAUUGAUCGCGGGGACCAACGCGACCUCGGUAAGCUGCGCUAGUAAUGCUAGCGUGUGCCGGUCCGCCUCCCGCCUAUAAAGGGACCGCGACCUACUCGUCAAUGCGAUGGUCGUCUACCCGUCCAGGUCGGCUUAAUCGGCUCGCCGUUGACAGGACCUGGGUGGAAAAAAAGUGGUUGGUGGUUAUAUUUUUCCGGUGUAGUACACAGAAAGAUGUCGUCGUCGGCGGCUUGGAUGGAGCCGAGCUUGGACGUGGACAAGCUGAGCCACGAGAUCUUCUCGAUACUGGAGAGCAAGUUCCUCUUCGGAUACGACGAGCCCAAGCUCUUCCUCCCCUCCACUCCCGCCACCAUCGCGGCAGCCGGCAGGGUUCGCGUCCUCUCCAUCGACGCGGCCGACGGUGCCCUCGCCGGCGCCGCACUCGUCCGCCUCGAGGCCUCUGUCCGCAAGCAGUGCGGCGACCCCGCCGCCCGCGUCGCCGACUUCUUCGACCUCGCUGCCGGAUCCGGCGCUGGGGGCGUCCUCUCGGCCCUCCUCUUCACCCGCGGCCCCGACGGUCGGCCACUCUUCUCAGCCGCCGAGGCCCUCCGACUCCUCACCAAGCACCGCCACCGCCUCUCCUCCGGGGCCCAGCGGAAGGGUAUCCUGCGUGGCAUCCUCGGCCGGUCGGGCGGAUUGUUCCGGCGUGUGUUUGGGGACGCAACGUUGCGGGACACCCUCAAGCCGGUGCUCAUCCCGUGCUAUGACCUGGCGACGGCGGCACCCUUCGUGUUCUCGCGGGCAGACGCCGUGGAGGCGGACGGCUACGACUUCCGGAUGGGGGAGGUGUGCGCCGCCACGUGCGCGGACUCGUUGGCCGGGGCGGCGCCGGUGGACAUGCACUCGGUGGACGGGCGGACGCGGAUCCGGGCGGUCGGUGGCAGGCUGGUGAUGUGGAAUCCCACGGCGGUCGCCAUCACCCACGUGCUCAACAACCGUCAGGAGUUCCCCGCCGCCGCCGGGGUGGAGGACCUCCUCGUGGUUUCACUCGGCGGCGCGGAUUCCGCGGCCUCACCCGGGAAGGCAGUGCGCAGGCCGACGUCGGCGGCGGAACUCGCGAGGAUCGCAGGCAGUGCGCAGGCCGACGUCGUAAGGACUCGCCACUUAAUCCAGCGUUAUUUCUUAGUCGCAGUAAGGCACAGCAUCGCAUAAAGACUAAACUAUCCUUCACAAAGGUCGCUUGUGACAGUGUAGUGUUGGGCACUUCGGUUAUUUGCUGUAAUCAUUAAACUAUUCUCCUGUUCAUGGCAGGUCGAUCAAGCGGUGGCGAUGGCGUUUGGGGAGAACUGGGCGACGAACUACGUACGGAUCCAGGUAUGGAGUAGGGAACUCAGAUUUACCUAAACACCCCUAUCAGGGGGCGCUAACUUUGGCGUUCCCUGCGGUGGGUUUCGCAGGGACACGUGGCGGUGCCGGUGACGACAGCAGCGGCGGAGGCGGCGCUGGCGGACAGGGGCGUGGACUCGGCGCUGUUCCGGGGCAGGAAGCUGUCGGAGCGGACCAACGGGGAGAAGCUGGACCUCUUCGCGGCGGAGCUGAUCAGGGAGCACGACCGGCGGCGGAAGCGCGGCGACGCCCCGACGGUGGCGAUCAAGCCCUCGACGCCGCCCUCUCCGUGCUCCUCAGAGUCGACAACAUGGCCUACAAUCCUUCUCCCUGUUCAAGAACUCAGAAAUUAAAUAGGAAAACUAAAUAGAAAAUUUAUAAUACUUCUGUAAGAGAAAACCUUUUCUUUCAAUUUUGUAGAAUGUAAUUAUGGUCGUAGCGUGAUUUUUUUUAGUUUAUUAUAAUUUCAUAUGAUCCAGAGCAAGAUUAUGCAUGUGGAUACUUGGUGAUGGAAGUGAGUGUCGGAUCGAGUUGAGUUUAAGACUCGGUCUUCUCCCUCAGCAGUGGUUCGUUUUUUCGUCGUUAGGCUCCUACACGUAGAUCGAGGUUAGGAGGAGAAUUUUCAACUCGAUCAAAGGUUAAGUUAGUGUUGUGUGAAGUAAGAGGGAGUUGAAUGCUCAAAAUUCUCCCCCUGACGUUGAUCAAGGGGUCGACUGUUAUACCUGCGAAUAAAGGUUGAUCGUACGUGAUCUUUUAAUGGUGACCGACUUCUCAAGCAACUGACUUGUACCUUCUAUGAGAGUGUCGACCGACCUGCAUGGAUUCGCACAGCGUGACGCCGUUUCAAGCUUUCGGAAAUAGCUUUAUGCUAUGCGAUGUCAUCUCGUACGAUCUCAGAUAAUGUAAGAACGAGCACCCGUCCCAUUCAAGUUCAAGAUGUCAUGUCGACACAAUAUAUCAUAUUAGUCCUGAGGCUCCACAUUGGUACUGACAUGACGGCUAUUAUUGCUAAGGGUGAUACCAAAAUAUGCCUUAUCAAUUUGUAAUUUCAUAUAAUCCAUACAUUGUUAAUUCAUACAUGUAUAAGAUUAUCCAAAAUUUUGCAGAUAUCUAUAAUAUUAUGAUUAUAUGAAAGGGAAUAUACGAAAAUUAUCAUUCUUUUGUGAGUAGCAAAUUGGUAUACCAAAGACUAAUGUGCUAUUAUUAUACACUUUAUCUUACCCUGUUUAAUUGGAGUCUGAAAUAUAUUUAGACAGAAGACUCUACGUCGAGUGGGAUUACCACUUGAUGUUUCCAAAACAAAACUAGUAUUUUUAGAAUUUAUCAAUAUAUUUAAAUAAUAUUUAAUAUGUCAUGACAAAAUAUAAUUAUCCCAGCUAAGGUUCCCUCCUAAGUUCAUCUCAAGUUAAGGUAUCAAAAGUUUGGAUGGUUAAGUCUAGACCUUAUAUAAUUUUGUUGCAAUGUAUCGACAAAGUCCAUUUAAUAUUUAAAUUAGUAUAGAUUUAAAAGUUCGAUCAAAUAUCGAAUUAAAAAAUGAUAAUUAAUCAAUGUCUUGAAAUGAUACUUAAAAUAUUUUAUAAUGUAUAUGCGUCAGAGUUGAGAUUAAGAUUAAUAUUGAAAAUACUUAUCAAUUUAAGAGAUAUGGUCAUUAUGAUCAUUAAAUCAUGUAUAUGCACACCAUCCCAAUAUCAAUAUGGUCAUUAAAUUGUGUAUCAAAUCUAAGAAAUACGAAGCAACAGUUUAUCGAGUUAGUUUUUACCGUCAACACUACAUGAUACCGAAUGGAUCCUUUGAUUGAUUGAUAACAAAUUGUUAGCCUAGUAGAUACAGCCCCCCUCAUAAUAUGUCUACUAAGGGGAGUUAAUGUACCGAUAAUUGUCCACGUGUCAUAUUAAUCUUGUCAAAUUAAUUUUAAAAACUAUUGUCAAGAUAAUUAACGAGGUGAAAGUGACGUGCGAAUGGGUUCCGCACGUGCGGAAGACUCGCCGGCAAGCUCAGGACGGAGUCGUUGUCGUACGUGCGAACUCUACAAACACAGUAACACAACAUUUUUGCCAAGGCGAGCAUUCCACAGCACGUGUGCAUGCAUGUGAAGCGUGCCGUGACACAACUCCGUCCUGUAAGUUGGCCUCUGAGGACAGCACAGCACAGCACAGCGUGUUAAUUUGUUAAUAAUCUAUCAUUAAAACAAAAUACAAUCAAUCUGAUACAAACACAAUCAUCUAAACUUAUGGCAAAAUACAUCUAUUGCAAAUACAAAAAAUAAACUUAGGUAGUUUUUCAUAACUGUCCAGAUUCACAGUAUUUUCUCUCAUUAUUUGGCUACUUCAAACAUCAUAAAAACAAGUUUUCUCGGGAGGAAUUCCCUUUCUUGGACUCCCUAACGGCGAGUUCUUCCUCCUCCCGUAUUGAUCUGAAAAGAAAAAUAAGAAAAAAAGAAAAAACCUCACAUUGGGUUGGGUAAAAUAAGAGAUAUAGAUUUCGAUUAAUUAUGCCAAUACAAAUUAAAAACAAUAAAUUAAAGGAAUCUAAAGGCUCGUUGUUUUAAGAUGACGUGGGAAACAUAAUUUUAGAGAGAGAUUAUUUUCAUAACUCGAACCAUAAUUAUACUAUUAUACUAUAACUCUCUAAAAAUUAAAAGAAUAAUCACAUGCAAUCAUCACCUGCGCUUGCUUCUGUGGGCAUGGCUGGCUGAUGCCUUCACUCACACAAAUGUACACCAAGAUGAAAUGCUCCUCUGGAUAUCCAAAAGGAAGAACUAUCGGACAUGUCACAAUAUAUAUGUUACUAGAUAAGUCACUAUUGGUGUUGUCACAAUAUACAUGUGUGUGCCACUGUCCAAAUGAAAAUUGUAUGUGAUAUAAUUAUCAUAAUUUAUGUUCAUCUUCUUCCUAACUUGUGACCUUUGCACACUCAGAUGCACAUACAUUGCACUAUUUGACAGACCCCACAGCUACUUCCCUUGAGCAGUGAGACAAAACUAGAAUGCUACUUAUUUGGACGAAUGAUGAAUCAUUGAGAUGAUAAAAGGAAAAAAAAAAGAAACUAACCUUUUCUAUUUAUGUAUUGGUCUUAUUGGACCGAACAGAAGUCGCAAAAAAAAAAUUCUUUGUCAAACAUGAAGUAAGAUUAGUAAAAUUUGAUGGUAUAAUAGCAGAUAAAAUUUUUCGAACCGCACAAAAAAAAAAAUCUCACUGCUUUAUUAUGGGAAAUUCUCCCACAUAACCUCUAUAAAUAGGAAAAAUAUAUUAAUAAAAAAUAUAAUUUUUAUCUUCUAUCUUCUAUCAUGGUAUCUGAGUCAUUCUUGCCUUAGCAAUAUCUACUCUCCUUUAAGACUUAUCAUGAGCUUGGACGAUCGUAGCCCGUUCUCGUCGGAGCGAAGCAUGUCCAGGGCAUCAUGAAGCUGCAGGAAGCACUCGCCCUUGACCUCCGACGACAUUGAUUUGAAGUGUUUCUACGUUGUCCACUCAUUGCAGCCGAAUCUUUCUACAGCUGCAUCUUGCCGCCGAACUCCUAAUUUGCCACUGAACACAUAUGCUGCUCUUCGCAAUCCUCGGCAUUAUCCUCUCUUGCCAUGCAGACCACUUCGACAAUUAUUCGUUAUUAGAGUAUACCUUUGAUCCUGUUGGACGAGCCUCCCAUGAUACUGUUAGGAUCGGAGCGGCACUAAGAGGGGGGGUGAAUUAGUGCAGUAGAUUAAAACUCGUAAGUUUGAAAAUAAUUUCGUAAAUACGUAGAGAUUUCGAUUCGACAAAGAAUGACUUAGUAAAAGUAGCCUGAGUAAAGUAAGAAGAUGAAAGCCAAAAGCUUGCUGUUAUGUAAAUAAAGGUUUCAGAAAGGUAAAUACUCGCACAUUCAAGAAACACACCAAUUUAAAGUGGUUCGGUCAAAUGACCUAUAUCCACUUGCGAAGCCUUCUUCGAUGAGGCUCCAAACUUCCACUAGCAAAUCACUUUGAAGGGGAAGGACAAAUACCCCUCUUACAACCUUUUACAAGUGAUUCACACUCUUACAGAUUUUUCAAAGAGAAAGAGGGAGGUGAACACUUAAGCUAUUAGAAACAAGACUUUGCUAGACUUUUUCUCACUUUCUAACUUAUCAAAAAUGUUGUUUUCUCUACUGAGAAUUGAGGGGUAUUUAUAGGCUCCAAGAUGAUUCAAAUUUGGGCUCCAAAUUUGAAUUGCUUUUGGAUUUCCCGAUGCUGGUAGUGCCACCGCCUGUCAGUGUCUGACACUGACAGUGUACUGGCGGUGCUAUCGCUCAGUCCGACGGUGCCACCGCCGGACCUCUCGGGGUGCUGGGCGGUGCCACCGCCCAGUCCGACGGUACCAUCGCCUAGUCCUUCGGGUGCUGGGCGGUGCCACCACCCAGUCCAGCGGUUCCACUGCCCGACCUUACGGGUCACUAGUGGGCUUCAGAUCUGGCCCAAACCAAGUCAUAUUCGGGCCCAUUUGGCCCCUAACCAGGAUAUAGGAUUAUUUCUUAAUCCUAACCCUAAUUACAUGCAAAUUACGAAGUUAAGACAUAGUCCUAAGCAGAUCUUAUAACUGACAACGUCGAGUUUCCUUCCGACAAGCUUUCCGGCGAUCUUCCGACGGACUUCCGAUACACCCUCGGAUUUCUUCCGACGGACUCCUAGUAGGCUCCCGAUCUUGUGGCGAGUUCAGCAAGUAGUUGAGCCUUCAUGGUGAUCUUCGUGAACCUCUAACGAUCUCUUCGGUGGACUUCCGAAAACUCCGACAAGUCCCCGAUUUUCUCUCGGUUGGUUCCGGCAGCAUCUCCAACGAAUCUUCGGACUCUCGAACACCCAUCGAACUUGACUUUGGUAGACUUGCUUUAUGUCUUCAAGCUAUCAUAGUUAAUCCUGCAUAUGUAAAACAAAACUUUGAUCGAGACAAUUAAUCCUAAGCAAUUAAUCAAAUUGUCCGGCAUGUCAUUGGUCCCUCGACGUUUCGUCUGAUUCUUCGGUGCAUCGUCCUCUCUUGCGGCCUAUUGCCCAAUCGGCCAGUUGACUCCACAACUCCAAUAUCCUUGGUGCAAUACCCGCUCUUCUUGGCCUGAUGCUCGGAUCCACGGCCCGAAGCCUUCUGUCGAUAUGUCGACCGAUCCACCGGCCCGAUGUCCAAUCUUCUGACAUGUUCCUCCGGCAUAACAUGAUUUUCAUGCUAUAAUUGUCUCAUCCUGAUCAAAGCAUCCUAUGUCACUCAAAACGUAGAUUAAAAUAUAAACACAUAUUGAUUGGUUUCAUCAUCAAAAUCCGAUAUUCAACAGACACUGUCUAGUUCCUCUCCUCAAGAUCUACACUCUACAGCUACUCUAGUUCAUAAUUGCCCAUUUCCUCCAUUACUACUCCAUUCCCUUCUUCUCAAGUUUCCCUCGUUAAUGAGGUAAUAUAUUUAAAAACAUAACCAUUGUUUUUACCUCCUUCUAGACCUAGUGACACUGAAGCACCUCAGCCUGACCCGGCCCGUGUUAGUGACUCUCCACUGCCUAUACCAACCACACAACUUCACAAUCUCAUAGCCUCUAGACAUCCAAUGACAACAUGCUCCAAGAGUAGUAUUUUCAAACCAUGUCAAGUCCUUGAUCUACAUGCUAUUAUAGAAUCCUCAUCUAAGACCAUUGAACCCACCACGUUCAUUCAAGCCCAAAAAUCUCCACUGGCGUAAAGCCAUAUGUGAAGAAUAUGAUGCCCUCCUUCAUAAUUUAACAUUGAACCUUGUAUCCUUUCAUCACACACAAAACAUCAUCGGGUGUAAGUGGGUUUUUGGAAUUAAGCGGAACCCAAAUAGAUUAGUUACCAAAUAUAAAGCAUGUCUAGUUGCCAAAGGAUUUCAUCAAUGACCUGGUAUUGAUUUCACUAAGGCAUUUAGUUUCAUUAUUAAACUCACAACAAUCCAACUUAUCUUGAGUUUGGCCACCACUAGAGGCUAGCAAAUAUGACAAUUGGAUGCUAACAAUACCUUUUUUAUAAGGGACUCUAACUGAAGACGUCUUUAUGCAUAAACCUCUUGGUUUCAUCCAUCCUCAGUAUCCAAAGCAUGUUUGCAAACUAUAAAAAACUAUUUAUGGAUUUCAUUAAGCUUCAAGAGUCUAGUACACUGAACUUGGUUUGUUUUUCACUUCAAUUGGUUUUUUCAACUCUAAGUCUGAUACCUCGUUAUUUCUACGAUAACAACAUGAAAUCAUAAUAUAUCUUUUGGUAUACGUGGAUGAUAUUAUUGUCAUGGAUAAUAAUCCUACAGAGAUCCACACAUUCAUUAAGCAAUUGACAGAUUAAUUUUUUCUUGAAGAUCUAGGAAUCUUGAGCUACUUUUUGGGAGUGGAAGUAACAUAUAUAUCUUCAAGUCUCUUUUUUUUAUAAAGAAAAUAAAGUCAAGAUUUAUUAUCAAAGACAAACAUGUAAGAUGAAAAAGAUGUUACAACUCUCCUCUCUACUAGUGAAUCAAUUAAAUUAUGUGAUGAAAGUUCUACUAUGGAACCUACUCGAUACCGACAAGUAGUUAGCUCCUUACAGUACUUAGCUCUCACGCAUCUAGACAUCUUCUUUGCGGUCAAUAAAUUAUCAUAAUUUAUGCAGCGACCAUCUACUACGCACUGGUUUGUAGUCAAACGAAUCCUGCGAUAUCUUAAAGGAACCCUCAAUCAUGGUCUCUUUCUCCGUAAACACUCUCAACUUCAUCUCCAUGCAUUUGCCGAGAUGCUGAUUGGGCAAGGAACUUUGAUGAUAGAAUAUCCAAGUCAAGGUAUAUUGUCUUCCUUGGAGCUAAUCCAAUCAAUUAGAGUUCUAAGAAGCAAAAGACAAUCGCAUGGUCUACAAUUGAAGCUGAAUACCGUGCUAUCGCUACCGCUACCGUAGAAUUCAAUUUGAUCAUAAAUCUACUUAAGGAACUCCACUCUUAUUUCUAAAAGAUAUUAUGAUAAUGUCGGAGCUACUUACCUAUACGUCAAUCCAGUGUUCCACUCUCACAUGAAAUAUAUUGCUAUCGACUUCCACUUCGUGCGAGAUCAAGUUGUCUGAUAUCAACUACUUGUUUCUCAUAUACAUAUGAUUGAUCAACUAGCAAACUAACUCACGAAGCCUCUCGUCCGUAAACUAUUCUCAUUGCAUUGGUCCAAGAUCGACAUCCUUGACAGGAAUACUAUCUUGCGGGGGUAUGAUAGCAGAUAAGAUUUUCCCAACUGAAUGAGAAAAAUCUCCCCUCCCUAUUUAAAUAAGAAGAACAUAUCAAUGAAAAAUAUAACUUCUAUCUUCUAUCUUGUAUCUUCUAUCAUUUUAUAGGUUUUAAAACUAUCUCCCAAAUGAGCCUUUAAUAAUAAUUCAAUAAUUUAUGAUGUUUAAUGAAUAAAAUCCAUGAGGAGAAGUAGUAGAUCGAAACUAUGCCUUUUGAUUUGUAGGAAGAAGUAAUGUCAUAGAGUGGUAUGGAUCAUAAAUAAAUGAGAGAAUUUUAGACGCAUGUGUACACAUUAAUUAAUCACGUUAUAUUCCAUCCCACGAGGGAGAUAAAUAUCACCAAUCACCGAUAGUCUUUUGGCACUUAUUUUCUCUUUGAUUAAAAUGAGGUGACAUAUUUCAAUUCUUUAGUGAAGAUAAUAUAUAUGGACAAGAUUAGAACAACUAAUGUGCAUGUCGUGACUCUUUUAUAUUGUAAUUUUAUUGUGGUUCCAUAGUACCAAAGGAAGUCAAAGUAAAUGGCAAAACUAUUAUCUUCACUAAUAGUUUUAUAUUAUAAUUUUAUUGUGGUUCCAUAGUACCAAAGGAAGUCAAAGUAAAUAGCAUUUUAAAGUGUCAACAUUAUUAAUAUUUCUUUUAUUAUCAUUAAAAAAUUAUUUGACUUAAAUAUGUAAGUCCAUAUUUUGUCUCAAUAAUAAUAUAAAAGCCAUCAAUCUCACAAGUCAAUUAUAUGAUAAGAAAAUAAUAAUAUUUAGAAUUUGAUUAAAAUGAUUAGUCUUCUUAUGGAUCAGCCAUGCGGAAAAGUGAAAGUGACUCGAGAUGACAAGAGGGGAGCAAGGUAGAGCACCAGACUUUUGGAUGAGAAAUAGAUGACUCACAAACCUUCCUCGUGUAGCAAAAACUGAUGUUUGAUUUUUUUUAACAGCUAAGCUCGAUUUUGCUGAUAGCUAAGUUAGAUAAUAUUUGAGAUGAAUAAUAUGAGAUGAGAGAGUCCCAUUACUUAAGUCACAAAAAAAAUUCUUUCUAAUCAUCUUUGAACAAAUAAAAUAGCUAUUUUGACAUGACGAAUCACGAAUAAAAUAGCUAGACGUCAGAAUGAUAAAAAACUUAACUCUCCUUAUUUGACUUUUUUUAUAUUUAAAAAUAUGAAAGGUUCCAUCGAGAAAUAGAACUAAUCCUAACCCAAAGGGUUUCUAUAAAUCAACAAUUCGAAAUACUUUUCUUGCGUAUUCUCGAUGAACUAGCAUUUAUACAUAAAUCCCAUUACUCAAGUCAUAGAAAAAUUCUUCGGGUCAUCUUUGAACAGAUCUUGUACAACUAAUCACGAAUGAUCAAUUUUAUUCAUGUUAGAUAUUAAUUUUAAUUAAAGAUAAACUAAUAAUCAUGUUUUUAUUCUUGAAAAAGAAAAAAAGAGAAAAAUCCAACUUGCACUUUGUGGGUGGCUUUUUCUUGAAGUCAGAUAUAGUAUAGUCAAAUAUAGCCGACAGCGAGACGAUUGAUUCGAUUCAUCAGCCUGGUUCGGUUCAAUUUGAACCCGGUUUGGAGCCAAAGUUUCAGCGUUUCAAGCUUGGUCAAAUUUCAGCAGCGGGCAACCAAUAAUUAAUUUACGUAUUGAUUCCUCCCAAAUGAUUGAUUUUUAUAAUGGUUCAUCGCCCAUUUCAAAUCACCUUUAAUACAUUAUCUCAAAUGCCCUUUACAUAGUAUAAAAACGUUUUAGAACAAUUAAAACUUUAAUGUAUUUUCUAAUUUAAAAUACCUACUUCCAAUCAUGAUGAAUAGCGAUUAAUAUACAUACAUAUGGGAUUUCAGUAUUCUGAGGGAUAUAUAUAUAUAUAUAUAUAUAUAUAUAUAUAUAUAUAUAUAUAUAUAUAUAUAUAUAUAUAAAAACCAAUAUGCUAUUCUUAACCUUUAUAAGGAAUGAUAUGUGAAAAUAUUGAAAAACCGUCGGGUGCUCCUCUGAUCUCCACUCGCUCCUUCUUUAAGUCUUCUCGUUCGACGGCACCUCCUACUCCUCCUCCACUGCCUGCUUCCGCCGCGUGCAUCCACCCCAGCAUCGCAUACGGACGCCGGAAGCCUCCGCUAGCCAUAUCCCGUGGAUCCCUUGCAGAACCGAAUUGGUGUUGCCUGAUCCGUUCCUCCUCUUUGCGUUACUAGUUUCGGGAUCGUGGCGGGUCGGAAAAGUGGGUGCGGGAGUUCGCGGAGGAGCUUAGGUGAUAGAUUCGACUGGUCGAACUUUCGAAGGUGACUUCCGCAUCUGGGUUUCUUGUUCUGGUUCAAAGUCUCGUCCUUUUCGUCAUUUUUCCUGCCAAGAAACGUUGGGUUUUUGGGGCAAAGAUUGUUCUUUGUCAUCUCCGAGUUGUGUUCAGAUGGAUACAACAGAUCUGGAGUUUUUUUUUUCUCAUAUUGAUUUCAAUUUGUUUCCUUGUUGUCUGAACUCUGGUAAUUUUAUAUGACUGCUUUUGCCAAAAAGGUGAAGAAUUAGUUGCUUUUUUUGCAUAAGAGAGCAUUGAAUUAGAUUAUUGUGACAAUUCAGUAUUGUAGAUAUCUGUCUUGUUCAAGUAGUUGCUGAUCAAAGGUUUGGAGAAGUACUUGAUAGAGGUGUAUGGACAUUUUAUACGAUGAUGACGAUUAAGUUUUGCCUCGUUUUGUUGAUUGCUUGAAAAUCUAAACUUUUACCUGCUAUGUACUUUUCAAGUAACUCUUGGUAAUUUUUUAUUUGUUUAUGUUGACUUUUCUUUAAUGUAAUUAAUGUAGCCUUUUUCUAUAUUGGGAGAUCCAAGAGGAAGAGAAAAAAAGAAUGAACAGAAUAAUAAAGAAAGAAAGUGAGGGAGUUGAAGUCUUAGGUUUGGUUAACUGAGGGGUGCAAUGGAAGAGAUCAGCUGUCGUGUUGCCUUUUUUUAUUUUUAUACAAACUAUCCCUCAUUUAUGAAAAAAUUCAACCAAUAAAAUAAAAUGAAGAGGAGGGUCAAUUAAGUCUUGUGUCAGAUGCUUGCAGAUAAAAACAAAACCAAAAUAAGUAUCUUAGGAUUAGCAAGGAAAAAAGUUCAAGAAAAAGGAAUACACAAUAUCACAUAUUAAAAUCAUAAAAAGAAAAAAGUUCAAGAAAAGCAAGGAAAGAGAACUAUUUUUGUUUCUAAAAAUAUUUUUCAUUAAGUAGGGAUGAUCCUUUUGAUAAUUGAUCAACUAUAUCAAGGUAUAUUACCUACCAUAAUAUGGAAAAGCCCAUUUUCUUCGACAAAAGUAAUUGAGAACUUCAGAAUCAUCAAAUUGAUUGGAACCAUUUGAUUGAAUGAAUCUCUGCCCAAAUGAAGUGAAGAGAACUGGAAAGCGGAGAUAAAUUAUGAGUAAUCCCUUUUUUCUUCUUUAUGUAAAACUUUCUCUUCUCCAUCUCUCUUUAAAUUGGUCCUGGCCCCAAAUACAGAGCUCCCUUUUUUGUCUUCUCUAAUUGUUCUACACUUCUUUUGUCUCCUUUAGCAAGUUUCGGACAGAGUUGUAUGUGCAUGUAAUAAGUUAGAUCUCUAAUCCUAAGUAACUCAGAACCUAUCUUUUGGUUAAUAAGAAAAGAUGGUAACAAAUACUUGAGGUCAAAACAGUGAACUAACUAAGAUGGCAUGAGCAUUUGCAGUGAGAUUCAGUGAAGGUCUUUAAGACUAAUUUAGCUAGAUAACUUGUGCCAGAGGGAAACAUUUCUGUUCAUGUGGAUGAAAGUUGUGGAGAAAUCUUGGCAUUGCAUGUAGUGAAGAUAUAGCAUUGAUUGGGGAAGAUUUGGUAAAGCUGAUUGUUAGUCCGGAACAUGUUGAUGAAUAAGCUUGUUGGUAUCAAAAUUCAGUCAUCAUUUCUUUUGGUUCAGAGGAUCUUGUUUCUGGUAAGUGAAUAAAAGCAUAUGCGUAGCUGUUGCAUAUAGUUAAACUAAUUAUUGCUUCAAAGUGAGUGCACAUUUUCAACGAGAACUAUUCCAAGUGAGAUAUUCAAUAAGUACUGGCCUUUGAUGUGAUCAUGAAGUGCAAUUUUGCUUGAGCGUAUAGUCUGGUGAUGGUUGGUUGGAUCAUGUUAGAUUGUUUGCUUGGUGUCCUGGUUAUUGAUCUUGUUCAUUUGGAUAGGUGAGGUGCAGCUUCUUGAGGUAGCUAAAUGAGACUACUUUGAGCACACUGAGACUGCAAUACCAGUAUUUGAAUACCUAAAAUCAAGACAAGUCUCGACAAGUGAAUUAUAUUGUUUUUGUUGGAAGUUGAUGUUUUGACUUUUGAUUGUCACCACACUGGCAAGAUGCAAAAGCUUGAAUCAGUUAAUUGGUGUGUGACGAUCAAUCAAGCAAAACAUGCAAAAUUCUUCCUCACUCGUAUCUACUUUUGCAGGAAACUUUUCAUUCAUAUAAUCCAACAUUCAACAGACACAGGAAGAUCUAGUAGUUGGUUUUUCCAGGAUGACUUGUUUCUCUUGCAUGUUCAGAAGGAAAAGAACUUCAUGUCAGCAUCAUGAUCAACUCAAUGAAGGUAGACAUGGUGUUUGGUGGAUUAAAUGUGAUUUAACUUAAUGUUUAUUUGCCUUUUAUUGAAUAUUUGCCUCUUCUAUUGCAAAAUUCUACUCCACCUUUCGGUUAAGCUAUAUAUUUUAUCUAGAUAUUCCAGGAAUUGAAGGUGUAAAUAUCUACACUUACAAGGAAUUGAAAAUUGCCACUGAUGAUUUUAGCGCUGCUAAUAAAGUUGGAGAGGGAGGUUUUGGUUCUGUAUACAGGGUAACUUUUUUAUACUUUAAAGUGGAUUAAUGCUAUUAAUUUUAUAAACAAUCCUCACUAAAUCGGAUCAUUGAUGUAGGGAAUGCUUAAAGAUGGAACAGUUGUUGCUAUAAAGGUGCUAUCCUCUGAGUCGAAACAAGGAGUGGGGGAAUUUCUGACUGAAAUUAAAGUGAUCUCUGGUAUCAUCCAUGAAAAUCUUGUCAAGCUGUAUGGUUGCUGUGCUGAAGAACCUCACAGAAUACUUGUUUACAACUAUCUUGAGAAUAACAGCAUUUCACAGACCCUUCUUGGUAACAUAAUCCCUGUUUAUACUACAAAAUUUGAAUUUUGUGUACACUUGAGGGUGGUCAUAUCCCAUGUUGUUUUGAAUGCAUCAAGAUGUGCUGGUUCUUGUCAUCUUUCAGGUUCCAACCGUGGUAACAUUCAGUUCAACUGGAGGGCACGAGUCAAAAUUUGUAUUGGUGUUGCUCGUGGACUUGCAUUUCUCCACGAAGAGGUCCAUCCACAUGUGCUUCAUAGGGAUAUUAAAGCAAGCAAUAUUCUUCUUGACAAGGACCUCACACCCAAAAUUUCUGAUUUUGGUUUAGCUAAACUUCUGCCAUCAAAUGUGACUCAUGUCUCCACCCGUGUUGCUGGGACAUUGUGGGUCUUCUUGCCUCUUUUAACUUCACACGAUCUAAUUCUUAUCUGAAAAUACAAAUGCAAACUAUUUUUCAUGUGGUUUAUCACUGUUGAGUGCAAUUCAUGAUAUCCCAAAUCGAGAACUUGUAACUGGACUUUGACCCUGCAGCAUGGGAUCUACAAUAGUUGGCUACAUAACAAUAAAAGGCCUGUAACAACAAUGUCCAUGUCAUAUUGCUUGUGUACUUAUAUGUAUACAUUUUUUUCUUUUUCAAGUCUUAACUUUUGUCCUCUGCAGAGGUUAUUUGGCACCUGAGUAUGCAACUCGUGGACAAGUGACCAAGAAGUCUGAUGUUUACAGUUAUGGUGUUCUUCUGCUAGAAAUAGUUACUGGCAGAUGUAACACCAACACAAGGUUACCUUUUGAAGAUCGAUUUCUUCUCGAACGGGUAAGGAAAUUGUACAUUAAAUAUAAAUUAACUGAUGAUUAUAUGACAUAAAUUGUAAGUUUUUUUUAUUGUAUAUGUAACAUCAUUUGUUGCUGAAAGCCUGAAACAGUUUUUUUUCAUUGCAUCAAUUUUUUUGUCAUGGCCUAGCAUGCAGUGAGUUGCAAACAAGGUCGAAAACAUUUAAUAUACAUUGCACAUAAUUUUCAUGAAGAUAUUUCAAUCUUGGUGAUAAUCGUAGACUUCUACCUAGUUGUUUGAUUAAUUGUAUGAUAAAUUUAAGCAUCUCUGUAGAGUCUGCACAAAAUUAAGUUCAAACCUUAAAUUAACAAAGACGCUUAAUGUGUAAAAUUACUGUUCCCUUCCCCUCCAAUCCUCAAAUGGGUUUUGCUGUUGUUCAAUGCUAAAAUUGAUAGGUAAAAUCAACUGUAAAGAAGGCUGUUGACUUAAAUUCACACGUCAGGAGAAAAAGCUGUGCUCAGAAACAAAUAUAUUCCAAGUUCCUUUUUCUUUAUCUAAUGCUAUUAUGAAUAUUCAAGCAAUAAACAUUGAAUAGUGUUAACUUCAUGUGAGACUAAAAAUAAUCGAGAAACCAUGUUUCAUUUUAAAAGGAAAGAGUAAUGCAGAUGAUGUAGUGUAUAUGACUACUGUCAUCUUCAAUGGCAUGCCGGAGUUUCAUAAACUUAAGAAAACCAAAUUUCUCACCUCAAAUGGCAUCACAAAGUCAUAUUGUGAAAAUGAGUAUGAAUUGGAACCCACUGAUUGUAUGUUUCUAGUAGGUUGAAAUGUUCCACUAAAGAUUAAAAUACUUAAUCAACUUCUAUCUUGAUUUGUGGCCUUUAUGUUGGAACUUCAUAAACUUAAUAUAACCAACUUUCUCACCCCAAAUGUAUCACAAAGCCUAUCCUAAUGAGAGAUAUACGAGUUGGAAACCAUUGAUUUUUUGUCUAUAGUAGGUUGAGAUGUUCUGUUGAAGAUUAAAAUACUUCAUCAACUUCAUCUUGAUUUAUGACCUUACCAGAUAGCAUCUCUUGAAUUCACAGUACUUUCUCAUACUUUCUGUUUUUGGUCUGUUCUCUAAAAUGAUUGGAGUUUCAGGUCAAUUUGACAUUUACAAUUUUGGAUGUUACAUCCAGAUUUAAUCCCAUUUUGUUUCUUGUUUUCUAUUUUUAAAAAUUUCCAUAUUGCUGCUUACAAUCUUUUCAAGGGUAGCUUGUCUAAUUAAUGUUGUAAGGUUUUGUGAUAUAAAAGUAUAUUGUCAUCCUUGUUCAAUUAGUUUGACAUUGGCAGAUAGUUCUUUCUUUUACAUUUGAGACACGUCUGGUAUGCCAAAAGACAAUAGUUAAGGGCCAUUAAUUUAGAUAUGGUAGAUUGCCUUCUCUUUCUGUAUAUUUUCCUAUGCAUUUUUUAGUGAGCUUAAUGAUUCUUACAUGCUUUCCCUUUAUCGUGUGUGCAUAUAAAUCCAGACAUUCAAAUUUCAACAAUUUGCCUUUUGAAAGAUAGAAUUGCUCUAGUUAGUUGGAUGGGGCAUGCUGAAGGAUUUGAUAAGUUGAUUUUGAAGAAUAUGUACUGGCUGCCCGGAAUAAAAUUCAAUAUUUUGUUGUAAAAGCUGACAAUGAAUUAUGAUCUGGAUCGAAGUUUCAGCUGGGGAAAAUGUAGAAUUUAAAAAAUACCUGCUCCAUAGACAAGUAGUUGUACUCACCAAAUAAAAAAUUCCAAUCUACUCAUCUGUAUUUCAUCAAGGCACAAAAAGAUAGGAGCGAGGUGUUUGUGUUUAAUGGACUUGUAGUGAUGGCCAUUCUGAGUCUCUGACUAACAGCUAAAUUUGGAUAAAUCUGAAUGAUAUAUACAAUAUGGGAACAUCUGUGAUUAUAAGUUUAGUUUGAAGUUACAGUUAACUUUUGCCUGGAAUCCAGAAGCUGAUUGGAUGGUACUGACGGUGUGAAAGGGAAGUUCAAUGCUUUGUUUUCUUUCUUUAGUUUUAUAAUGAUUCAAUCAUGUAUCUAGGCUUGAGAAAGAAAUCUGCUUUCUUAAACAUAGUAUGGAGAAAAUAAUGGAACUAACAUCAACUCUGUUCCGAGAUGUGUUUUAAUUUACUGCUAUCAGUUAUUCAUUACACAUGCUAAAAUGAUUUUGCAUCUUCAUUAUAAAUGAGCUGUUGUAAGUAUUUUGUUGAUAUACAUAAGUUUAGAAGAUAAUUUAUAACAAACCAUCAUAAAGAGUUAAUUCAUACAUGCCAUUUUGUGGCUGUUUUACAUCUGGCAACAUGCUUGACAGCUGCACGGUCCCCGGUAUUACUAAUGGAUUUCUCUUCUUGCAGACAUGGGCAAUAUAUGAACAUGGUGAUCUGAAACAUAUCAUAGACAGCUCUUUGACAGAUGACUUGGAUGCUGAAGAGGCAUGUAGGUUCUUGAAGGUUGGACUUCUAUGCACACAAGAUGCUAUGAAGCUUCGGCCCUCAAUGUCCACUGUCAUCAUGAUGCUGACUGGCGAAAAGGAUGUGGACUUGGAAAAGAUUACGAAGCCUGGUAUCAUUAGUAAUUUUAUGGAUCUUAAAGUUGGUAGCAAGAAAAAGGCCGAUCAAACAAAUAGAUCUUUAAUCAUUUCAUCCAUUCUGGAAAAUUCACCCUUGUCAUCAGAGAACACUACAUCUGCAUCUAUGACCUUCACAGCAAUAUCUGAGUGAGACUGAAAAAUCAGUGGAUAUAUAAGUUAACGGAGUUUUGAGGUACAUAAUCAUGUAGAAUAUUGUAAUUCCUUUUCUCGAAAGAAAAUAUGCGUGUUUUUCUAUUUGCAUCUUAUAGAUUCUAGUUUAUUGUAUAUAUCCGUAUCAAUUUUGGUCAAAAGAGAACUUUGUUUAUGCAUUUGUUUGAUUGAUUUUCUUGGCUAACUGAAUGUUUUUCUUUGUUUAAUUAUAAUUUGAUGAGAAUGUUGAAGUGACACAUGAUAUGGUCCAAAUUUUAUAUCUUCCAAGAGAGCCAACUGGACUUGCAUUCAAUAAAAAAAUUCCUGAUUACAUAUUUCCAAGUAGAGAAUUCAAAAUCGGAUAUCAAGAAUUACCUGUAUUUAUGUGUGGUUCAUCAUCUAGAAAUACUUUUUUGUAUGUAUAUCAUACUUUCAUCUGCUUCUGAGUGAAUAACAAAACCAAGGGUUGCGGAGGAUGGUCUUUGUACAUCUUCAUUGCAUGCUUUUGUCACUGAAAUCUCACAUUGUAUUAUCUUCUAAAACUUGGUAUCUUGGGAGGAGAGAGAGAGGAUCAGACACAAAACUCCAUUCCUCUUCAAUUAAUCAUUUUUCAACCUAUAGAAGAAGGUGUCAUGAUUCCCCGUUUCUUUUUUUUCUUAUGAUUCUUCUGCUAGUUACCUUUACACUUAAUGACGUAUCUGACUCCUCUCUGUGCCCAGAGAAACAGGGAAUCAAGAUUAGAUCUAUCACAUGAAGGUGAACAAUGUCCUUUUAAUUAAUUUGUCAUUGUUGGUUUGUUAUUCUGUCUACAUUCUGUGAGUUCACUGUGUCACUGUUGAUAGUUCAAUGAUGCCUUUCUCUGGACCACAUCAACUAUUUCUUAAGCUUUUGACUUGAAAUCUGGAUUAUCUUCUACUGAUUUACUGUUGCUUCUUAUUCUACACAAAAGAACCUUAUCUUGCCUGAUUCGAUUGUUGGUGAAGUAUUGAACUUUUGGAUCUAGAAAAUGUUUCAGAAGGUAUCUCUGAAGUAGAUGGUGAUUGAUAGAGCAAUUCUUUUAUAGGUGUUAUUUGAAAGUUAUUUACUAUAUAUCAAAGUCAAAUGCUCUAAUGCCUUAUGCUUGAGAAGUAUUAUUUACUUUCUUUCUCGUCUCUAAUUAUUAAUAGCUCAAUGAUGCUUUUCUCUGGACCACAUCAACAUUCUCUUGAGGUUUUGACUUGAAAUUUGGAUUGUCUACUACUGGUUUAUAAUUGCUUCUUAUUCUGCAUAAGAGAACCUUAUCCUGCCUAAGUCACUAAUUGGUGGGGAAAUACUGCAACCUUUGGAUUUAGAAAAUGUAUAAAGUAGAUGAUGAUUGGAAGACAAUUCCUAUCCUCAUAAUUAUGGGUGUCGUUGGAAAGUCAUACUGCAAGAAUGCUCCAUGUUAACCCAAAAAACUGUGGAGCAAAGCUCUACAAUGCUUUGUGCUUGAGAAGGAUAUUACAUGAGCAUGAACAACCCUUCAGUGAUGCUUGCAUCUUUCUUCUCUCUUCCCUCAUCCAUUUUUCCUCUUCUGAGUUUUUGAGGUUAAGGUGGUUCUGUGCAUCAUGGUGUACAGCUGAUUAGCUUCUCCAAGACCCCUGUCCUAGUUCUAUACCAAAAGGUACUUUUUGCUGUUGUCCUUUGGCCACCCUGGGCAUUGUAGGUAGGUGCCUUUCUCUCAAAAUGCCCAAUUGGCCUGUUGAUCAGAAGGCUGGCUUUCUUUACUUUUAUCAAGUCCUUUGGGGUUUAUGCCCACCCAAUUAACAUGACUUGUGUUGGAUCUAUGUGCUUUGGCCAGAAACCAAGCCAGGUUGGUUCUCUCUCUUCUGAGGCUGGCAUUUUGGGCAGGACAUGGUCAGUUUGGUUCCAUUGCUCUCAGUGUGCCAGUAGUUCUUGAAGCUCCAUUAUUUGUCAAGACCAUACUCUCUGCUUUGCUCAUUAUCUACAGAAUUGGGACUUGGAAGUGGCUCAGUGGUCCAUUAGAUUCAGGUGGUCCUGAAAGCUAAGGCUGCAUCCAGACCAGGAGGAGGCAUGAGCAGGUAAUUCCUUGACUGAGAGAAAAGUUACAUGCAGAAAAGUGUUCCUAGUGGCCAAAUAAACACUUUUAUCUAUCUCUCUCUCUCUCUUUCUCUCUCUCUCUCUAAGAGAUUUUUGUGAAGCAUAACAGCAUUUCGGUAAGAGUGGCAUAUGACUUCUAAUAGUCAUCUUUUAUUCAGAGGUAGUUCCUUGACUAAGAGAGAAGUUACAUGCAGAAAAGAGUCCCUAAUGCACAACAGUCAUUGUUAUGGAGAUCUCUUUGUUCCUCUCUCUAAGAGAGUUUGUGAAGCAUAACAACAUUUCACUGACUGGCACAUGACUUCCAAGCAGUCAUCUGACUCCAUGACUAUUUGAAAGGUAGUUCCUUAACUGAGAUGAAAGUUACAGACAAAUAUUUUCCUAGUGAAUAAAUGAACAAUCAAUGUUAUGAAAUUAUCUUUGUUUCUCUUUUUAUGAGACUCUGAAGCAUAACAGCAUUUCACUGAGCGUGACACAUGACUUCCAAAUAGUCAUCUGACACCAUGACUAUUUCAAUGGUAGUUCCUUAACUCUGAGAAAAUUUUACAGGCAGAAGAGAAUUCCUAGUCAACAAGUAAUCAAUCAAUGUUAUCAAAUUCUCUUUGUUUCUCUCUCUAAGAGGCUUUGUGAAGCAUAACAGAUUUCGCUGACAGUGACAUGUCACUUCCAAAUAGUCAUCAAUGUUGGAGACACCAUGGCUAUUUCAAAGGUAGUUUUUAACUGAGAGAAAAGUAGUAAGCAAUCAAUGUUAUGCAGAUCUGUCUUUCUCUCUCUCUCUAAGAGACUUUGUGGAGCAUACCAGCAUUACAAUGAGAGUGGAAACAGUUCCAAAUAGUUAUGUUGUUUGAGACACCAUGGCUAUUUCAAUCCAGCUUUCACCUGUGUCAUUCACAUGUGUUCUUGGGACUGUUUCCUGUCAGAUAAAUCACACUUUUAUUGAGCUAAUAGUUUACUCCUUUCUGACAAAUGUUAAGGAUAAAGAAAAGUGAUACAGAAACAGCUUUCUUUCUGAUAAAAAAAAAAAUCAGCCACUUCAACCAUCUCUGAUGCCAAUCCAAAGAGAAAAGACAGCUCUAAUUAGCUGCUACUCCAACCAAAUCUUUCUAUGGGCUGCUGCAAUUAUUGUUAAAGGGCUUUGGACUCUCGAGUGAUGAAGAUUUUUAUUGUACAAUAUUUAUAUGGCUUGAUAUUUUGAUCUUAUAUUCUGCACGGGAAAAAACAUAUCAAACUCUCUACUAUAUGUGAAUAUAUUAUAAAAAGUAACACUCUCAUAUUAGUAAUUAAAUUUAACUGAGGUUCCAAAUGAUAAAGAUUAUCUUCCUAAUAAUACAUUUUACGUUUCAGGGGGGACAAUCAAACACUUAUCGUGUGAGAAUAAAUUAUAAAGAAUAAAACUUUUCUUCUAGUAGUCAAACAUACUCGAAAAUCUCUUGUACACAUCUCAUCGUCGGCUUAGUCAACUGUACAUAUAACGCAUUAACCACCAGAAUGUCUCUGUCUGUUUGCGAGUAAACUUACAACAGUUUUGAGGCAAAACACAAGUUGAUGCACCCUUUUAACCUGUUCAUGUGAUGUUGCAGGAACAAGUUCGCAGCAUGUUGGGGGAGGAGGAACCUUUUGGGCCUCGGCAAUUGCAGCAUGUGUUCUGCCUGCAGCAGUGUUUGGUGGUGGACAUGUCGCUGCGGACUGUUCACGGCAGGGGGAUCAGCUGCUGCUGCUGCUCCUCCUCCUCCUCCUCCUCCUCCUCCUUCCGCUGGAGAGCGACAUGGACAGGCUCCAUCCGUCAUCUCCUCCAUGUUCAUCAGGGAAAAACGAGGAGAGGUGGGAAGAAAGAAGAGUUGAAUGCCAUGCAUGAACGCAUGCACAAAACAAGGAUCACAAGGUAUCCACAAAAAGCAAAAAGAUACUACUGUUCAUUGAAGAGGGAGACAGGCUAUUUUUCUGCAGUCAAACAUGAGAUCUAAUGCUCCGAGUUGGUGGAUUGGUUGAGGUGGUGCUGUUGGGGGACCUAUCAUGUCCUCCCAGAGAGGAAGCUUCCCCCAAAUUCUUCAUUCCACAAGUUCCAAGUCAAAUUGAUUUGGAUUAAGACGGUUUGGUCAAAGGUCAAACUCAAUCAAUCGUAAUUUCUAUAUCAAUAUAUUUCUAAUGUCUCUAACUCAAUCUGUAGUUUUUCUACCCAAACUCUUAUCCGCCAACUUUGGAUCUGAUGCUAUAUUGAAAAUUUUAAUUGAUAGGGUUGACAGUAUAAUUUAAUUCAAAAUUUUAUACUUCAUCUCUUGCAUGAAUAUCGUUUUUAGAAUAUGGUGAAUGAGUCGCUUGUCUACGUUAGGAGAAUGUUUGGAGUGAUAACGGUGACGCACAGGAGAUCGUCCUCCUUUCCUAUAUGGUACGUGACCAUCACUUACUUGUUCUCGAAUGCAUGAACCUUAGAAUAAGUGUAUGACAUUGGAUGGACGAAGAAAGAUUGUAUUGAGUGAGAGCAUAUCAUCCUUCAAGUGCUCUGAAGGUUACAUUAUGUGUGAAAGACUUCCCUUCCGCAAGGCGGAUGUACGAUGUUGCUAUACAUGUGCAUGUCGACGUCCUUACAAGACCUCCAACCUUCACACUGUGGAGUUGCACUUGCAAGUACUCAAGCACAAAAACCUAAGACAAUUUUACCCUCGGAUUGCUACUCCGACAAGGCCCCAAUAAUGUUCACGGAGGACAACGUGAGUUGAUCGUUUCCAUGCAAGUUGAUUUCGCCAUGUCUAAUCCACUCUUUCUUUUUCAACAUGAGAUGCUUCUGAUGAUAAGAACACCAAGAUCAGUAAACAUAAUAAGAUGGGUGUUUUGAAGGGCUGCUGCUGCUUCUUUCCCUAGCUCCGAGAAGUCCAUCUUGGAUGGAUGGCACACAAAGCUGUCUCAGUUCCUUGGAAGGCUGGAAAGCUGGCAGGAGUCUGAGGCCAAAACACUUGGGCUCUUCUUGCUUGCACUAUCACCAACAAAAAGCGAGGCAGAAAGUGUGGUGUCAUGCACUAGCCAGCCAGCCAGCCAGCCAGCCAAAAAAUUAUUUGACCUACUGGUGGUGGGGGGUCCUCAGCACCACCUCACAUUCUGGUGGCCACAGCCCAGUGGUGAGAGUGGGGUCCUGUCAUUGCCCUCACCAUGCAGAAUAAUGAGAGAGAAGGAAAAGGGAACAGUUGGAGCUUCUUUUGAGGAAAGAGAAGUACAGUAGACCACUCAAGGCACCUGGAGGCAGUUUCAGCAUUGUACAUCAAGGAUGGAUUUGAUGUGUUGAGGCUUUCAUCUCAGAUACUACUCUCAUCACUUGCACAGAGAGAGAGAGAGAGAGAGAGAGAGAGAGAGAGAGAGAAUGUGCAAAGAUAGAUAUGUUUAAUCCAACAAGUUAGAUCCUUGAGGCAUCAAGAACAUGAACCUGAGUAGAAGAAGAUGCCAUUAAACUUGGCCAGGACCCUGCUAGAGUUGGGUAGCAGAUGAAAUGUAGCAGUACGGCUGCUUCAUGCCAACAUGUGGGAUUACCAUGAGAAGAACAAACCUGUUGCUUCAGAUCUUUUUUCUCUUCAUACAUGGUAUUACGGUUCUUCUCUGUCAGAGAUCAGAUCUCAUUGCGAUGAGCUGCAUGAGGGAGAAAGAGCUCAAAACCGAAAACAUUCAGUACACUAAUCAACAUCCACAACAUAAAAUGUCAACCAUUUAUGUACCAGAAACAAAGUAAGUCAAGAUGCAUAUGGAUGGCUGCAUAAAACUUGCUCCUAGAGAGAGAGAGAGAGAGAUCACAGCUAUAUUUCUUGUGGCAACUGUGUAUGUAUGCUAUUUGUAAUCUUUCAACCCAAAAGAGCAUAAAAGGCAGAGCUCGUCAUCAUAUAUCUUGUUCAUGAUCAUGUGAGAGCAGUUGAUGCUCACAUGUUAUAUAAGAAAAUGAAUAGAAAUCAAUACUAUUAAAGCAAUAUAUCUUUAUUUGAGAUUCAAUAUGGAAGAGAGAGAGAGAGAGAGAGAGAGAGAGAGAAGCCCCAUCCAAAUAUUUCUCAGGGAUCUGACACAUCUGAACCCUAGAGAAUCUCAGCAGAGAGAAUGAGACUUACAUUGGAAACUAUUAUAAGCAUAUACAACCACACUGGGAGCAAAGGAAUUAAAAGGAAUAGAGAGAGGAAGGAAAUGCUGAUCCAACUUGACAAACUACCAAAAGUGUCUCUCUCAUUUACUCACAUUUCUAACGUUUACUCGAUCCAUAUCAAAAGAUGAAAGAAUCAUAAAAUCUCUACAAAAAUAACAAGCUAUCCUGUCACACACAUUGAAUAGGAAAAGAUACAAUAGAAUUCUCACUGGCAUACUUGACAUACAGAAUGGAUAUAUGCACGCCAUGCAAAAAGAUGUCUUCCAUUUAUUUGUAUCUAUGAUUUGUGGUGAAGCAGUAAAAUACCACCGAGAAGCAAAGAAAGGAUCUUUGCAUAGAAUAAGAACACUUACCUUACAUCUUCCCUCUAAGAAAUGACAAACAAUCACGGUUCUCUGAAACCUUCAAUCCUGUCUCUGACCAGCGCUUGAGUUCUGCAAAGGAAUGUAACCCAUCACCGACAACCGAACCUUAGAUUUGAGAUCAUAUGCUUCUUAUAUCCAAAUCUGAGCGCCAUAUGAAAUGACUGCAAGAUCAGAGAGAGAGAGAGAGAGAGAGAGAGAGAGGCAUGCUUGGCUCCUUGCACGCCACCCACAAUAGAGCCAAUCACCCCAUGAAUUGGUCUAUAUGUGUGGCAUACAGGGAGCCAGGCAUAACCCAUUUCACCUGCGCUCUUCCUCUACAUGGCAGAAACAAACCUAAACCUAUACUCACUCAUUCAAUGGGAGUAAAGGAGUGCAAAGGCCAUUUCUCUUCCCACUAUAACCAUCAGGCCGUGACUACAAAGCUGUUCCCCAUGGAGAAAUGGAUAGACAACAUGAUCUGAAACCCUACACCGCCUAAUAUUUGUAGAGAGAGAGAGAGAGAGAGAGAGAGGUAAAGAGAAACAGGAGGAAGGGAUGAGGGGGCCAAAGGUAGAGGAAGAGAGGAUUUAUAGCCCUCAUGGCGGAGAGGAUUUCCUCACUAAAAUGUAAACAUGCAUUUAAAUAUUACCAAAAAACUCAUCCACUUUUUUUAUGGUUCAAACUCACCACCCACCCAGGAAAAUCUCAUCCCACCUCCCCAAACUUAGCAAACCCUAACACAGGCUUUACUGAUCUCUCUCUUUCUCUACCUGGCCGUGGGACUGGGUUUGGACAGGGAUGGAGGGGGAGAAAGAAUGAAAGAGAAGCAACUGUUCCCAGCUUGCAGGACCUGAGAGCAUACAAUUAAAGCCGGCUGGUCUUCCUCACUCCCUUCUAAUGGAUAUUUCUAUUUCUUUUACUCUUCUGAACUGGGUUUUGUCUGGAGCACUUGGAUUAACAUCAGAUUCUUGCAGCCAACUCACUGUACCAAUCAGAAGCAUUAAAAUAUUUUUUUUCUUCAUACAUUAUACACGUUUAAUACAUUUUCUUGCCCAUAUAUUUCUUUCCUGCAGUGCCAUUCUUCUGCACAAGUUCCCCAAGGCUUUCAUUAAAUAGCCAAGAAUGGCAAGACAAUUAUGCAGACCAUAAGCUUUCUGGUGCGGUUAGAAAUGUGGGUUGGGAUGUACUUUUAUUGGUGAUACAACUUUGUUUCUUGCUAAUGAAGUAAUGAUCAUCAAAUUAUGAUGUCCUCUUAAAGGAAAAGAGAAAUACUGCAUUUUGAUUGUCAGAUUUCCUCGUUAUCUUUGCUUUGUGUUAUUAACUAGUCUCUAAUAAUCUUAGAAGCCUGCCAACAUUAAUAUGUCAUACUUCACCCUAUAGAGUGAAGCUCUCCUUGAUGCAUAAACCUCAUCCUUUAGAUUGAGGUCAGUCUCAGUGCAAAAACGUUUGGAUCAUGAGCUUUGAUCAUUCUUGUUAUUUGGAUUCUUCCAUUUUUGUUCUCCAUCAUACAUUGUAUAUGAACAGGAAUAUCUGAUUCAAUUGAGAUCGAUGUUUGGCUGGCAUUUUUUAUUGUUAAGCUUUUGAAUGGAAUGAGCGUAAGUUCUUGUGAUUGCUGCACGAAACAAAUGAAACGAUUAAGAAGAGGAAAAAAAAUGACAUCAAUUGAUUGAUAUCACCUCUUAUUAAGUUGUAGAGGAUCUUGUCCUGAGAUGGGAAGAUAUUGCUGUCCAAAUCACAGUGUAGCUCAUUGUUCUGCAAUCUAAUAUAUGAUGUAAUAAGAAUUAGCAAGAGAUAUUACAUAUUGAUGCAUUCAGCUUAAGCUUUUGGAUUGUGUUGAUGUCCAACUAAUGUAUCGUUGUCAUUGUCAUUUCACAUGCAUUCCCUUGAAAUAAAGAUCUACCCACCAAAAUGUAACUACACUUGAGCCUUUGUUUGUUUGUAUCACUUAGAAUGCUAUGUAAUGCAACGAUAUGGAAAAAAAUUAUUUUACAUUUGUUUUAGUUUUGCAUCAUCAUUUAUGCAUCUUAUAUUGGAAAAUUUUCACAAUCAUCGAGCAUAUUUAUUAAAUAUAGUAUUAGGCAUACUCUAAUUGUUUGAGAUGAGUGUAGAAAUCCUUCGCAAGAAUGAGCAUAUAUUAGAUUUAUUUUAAAUUUGCAACAACUAUUUAUAUUCUCUAUAUUAUAAAUUUUUUAUUGUUAGAAUUUUAAUGAUACUAAAAGAAAAGGGUGAAUUAAUGUAAUAGCAUUUUUAAUCGAUUUUAAAACUAGAUAAAAAAAAUUGAUUGUGAGUAAAACGAAUAAGACUAAGUCAUAAGUAAAGAAAGGCAAAUCAAUUUAUAGUGAUUCCUUUUCCCUUGAGACUAUCAACUUUUAUUAUCGAUCUUCUUUUUAAUAGGCGAAGAUUAACUAUCCUUCUUACAACUUUCUCUUUUUUUUAACUUAAGAUAAUCUUCGUACUCUCUUUUUACACAAGAGAUUUCCCACCUUCUAUAACUUAAAAUUUUAACUAAACUUAAGUGGAGGAAAAGACUUAAACUAUACUCAAAAUAAAAGCUCACAAUACUUUAUUAACUUAGGAAUGGAUUCUCCAUCAACCAAAUGAGGGAAGUAUUUAUAGACCCUAAAAAGCUUCUAAAAUGAAGCUAAAAAUUUAAAUUUGUGAAAUUUUCGGAUACAAGCAACACUAUCAUCGACUCUGAGUGGUACUAUUAUUAUACUUUUUGACAUAGUUAUAAUACCAAAUUCUAAUAGUACCACUACUAUAAUUUUUGAAUUUUGGAUGGCACUAACAUUACCCUAAGCGAUACCAUCAUGGAAAAAGCUGACAAAGCACAAAUAAUAUUUUUUAGUUGACUCAAGUGGUAGAAUGAUCUAUGUUUAAUAGUACCACCAUCCAAGCCGGUUCAGGUCACUAAUUUGUCAUUCUAAUGGGCCCAAUUUGAAUUGGCUUCAAGCCCAAUAACUUUUAUGACAAGUGGACUUUAUUUCAUCUCAAUACUAACUUAAAUUGAUUGUAAAUAACCUCGAUUAUUACCUUGAUAACUCUACUACAAUCCAACAUAUUUACAAAUCUUUCGACGCAUUGUAUGUGCUUUCGACAUGUCAUCCGAUCUUUCAGUACUUCAUCCAAAGUUAUAGCACAUCAUCCUUUCCUUUGGUAUAUCGUCUAUUCCACUAACAUAUCAACUUUUUCAUGAUAUCUAAUCUUCUAAUAAAAUAUUCGAUCCUUCUAGCAUGAUGUUGAAACCUUUAGCACAAAGUUCGAUCUCUAGUAUAUCGAUCAAUCCUCUAGCUCGACGUCUAAUUUUUGACACAAUAAUUUUUUAAUACAAUAUUCAACUCUCUUACUCAAUAGUUGGCGUUUCAGUAGUUUGAUUCUUUGAGUGAAGUAUUUUUCUAUGUUGCUUAUCUCAAAAAUGUCUCAUAAACUCAUCAAUUGAUUUCAUUAUCAAAAUUAAAGAUUUAACAAUCUCUCACUUUUUUAUGAUAACGAUCAAUUGAUGAUGGAGUCUUAACCAGACUCUCUCUAUCUAUAUACCACCUUAAAAGUAUAAUAAACUUAAAUUCAAAAUAAUUACCUUUCAUGUUAGUCUUGAAUUCAAGUUAAAAUAAUUUGAUCAUAAAUUCUAGUAUUUUUAAUAAUAAUUAUUACAAGAAUUAGAUGCAUAAUUUUAAUUACAAAGCAUCAAAGGGCAUUAUCAUAAGUUAAAAAAUAUCAUAAGUUUUCUUAUUAACAUGAAAAGGUAAAGACAUACAUAAUUUCAAUUUCAUCAAACGGAAAAGAUAGGCAUAGUUACUACUCUCUCUUUAUCAUCAACAAGAAGGAGGAAUAUACAAUCUAUUCAGGUGGUGACAAUCUAAAAUGUUCAAAUAAAAUAUGAAAGUAUGCAUUAAGAGCAUAAAUACACUAAUAAAUAUGCUGCAUCUUAGUUAAAAUGUGGUCCUAAUGAAACUAAAGAUAAUCCAAUCAAGCUGCUAUGGAAUCAAAAAAUGAAGAAGGUGUUAGACCUGCUUGGGUCUCGCUUCAAAGGGAUUAGUAAGAGGAAAAUAACUACCCUAAUAUAUAGGUGCAUUUGGGACAAGCUUAGGUGGAGGAGGAUUAGUCCUCGUAAGUAAUCUAGUCUAUAUUUUAUUAAUUACAAUGCACCUUAAUUUUCUU
RNAcentral lists this long non-coding RNA (68271 nucleotides) under Musa acuminata (dwarf banana). Its description in RNAcentral is "long non-coding RNA (MACU_LNC000677)". Lineage: Eukaryota; Viridiplantae; Streptophyta; Magnoliopsida; Zingiberales; Musaceae. The record is from RNAcentral.